GUUAACGUACUGGCUGAGGGCAGGGUUCCUCAGAUAUCCACAAAGGCAUGGCUUCUGCUCUCUCAGCUUGGCGCAGCACGUUGCUGACGGCGGCGAAGCUGACAUAAACGCCGACGAACAUGAAGUCAGUUCCGUCGGCGAGCACGUCACUCCCUCCGCCACCGGAAUGUUUGCCACCGUCACCAGGAGAAGCGCUGCGGCGAGAGCUAAACUGGAACCCCACAUCACCUUUACCAUGUUACUUCUUCUUUGUUUCUCUGUCUUUGUGGUUGUUCUUUUUUUUUGAAACACCUUUGUGGUUGUUCUGCUUUUAGUAAUCAGUAUGUUCAAUAUCCAUUGAGAGUGUUUUCUAUUUAUAGAUAAGGAAAGUAAAGGCUUAGCUUUUUUUUUUUCUAUUUACCUUUUUAUCAUUAUUAUAGUUAAAAUUGUUUAUUAAGUAAUCAAACCUAAAUGUGGAGAAUUAGUUAAUUAAUUUCUUGGUUAAUAAACUUCGUUCACUUCAUAGUAAGUGUUAGCUAGCUCAUACUUUAAUCAAAAUUCGUGCAUUGAUGAAACGUGAAUAAAAAGAAACGUUGAGCACUGUUUAGAAAUCUUGUAAUUCAUGUGACAUCGAUCAUCCUUUUUUAUGAGUUCUUUUGAUAUUAUAAUUUUUACUGGAUAUAUAAAGCUCGGUAUGAGUAUGACCGUAUGUGUUAUGUUCUGAGAAAGAAUUUGCAAAAUUCUACACUUUAUGAUAUGGCCACGCGAUUACACGAAUAUAGAAUAUAGAUUCAUUGUUUAGACCCAAUUUAAAUACACGGAAAGAGGAUAUACCGUAUGCUGCACCUCUCAUUGGAAAUUUGCGUGGACCUUACGUACCCCCAAAUUAAUAAUUAAAAAAAGUUGCAAAAUAUGAGUUUCUAUUCUAUACUUACAAGUUCACUCAUUGAGUUUUAAUUAAUCCCUUCUUUUUUUUAUAGAAUUUCUAUUGUCUGUUUAAUUUUAAACAAACAAUUAUAUAUAUAUUUAUAUUUUCACUUGAAAUGAAUUAACCCUCCCACUCCUUCCAAAAGUAUAACUUGUAGGACAAACAUAUUAUUUAUUUAUUUUUUACCAGAAAAAAACAUUAUUUAUUUAAAAUAUAAUGAUGGGUAUGAUUUUGACCCUUUAAUUUACGUCGACAAUGUUCUCUAACUUUUUUUGUCUUCAUAUAUCUGCAUUAUUGUCCUUUGACACAACCCCUUUCAAUUAAAUACACACACGUGGCCUGCAGUUUGUGGUUCACAUAUUAACAUGUCUAUUCCUUCAAAAAACAAAAUUGAAAUCUUUGAUUCUUACAAAAUAUUGAUGAUUGGAAAAAUAGUCCAAAAUGCAAGGUGAGCAUAAUCGACAGAAAAUCACUGAUUCAACUGUUUUAAAUCAAAGCCAGAUGAUUUACAGUUUUAAACCUUCAAUUUUUUAUUUUAUUUUUUAUUUUAGAUGAGAGGUACAUCCCACAGAUAGACCCUCUCCCGAAUAUUCAAAUGCGCCAAAAUACAAUAGUCCAUAUUCAUAUAAGGUAACCAGAAAAAUGCAACUUAAUUUCACAUGACAUGUAGAUCGAACCUUUAAAUGUAAUUACAUCCCAAGACUUUUUCCUCAGUACUUGACCACAACCUUCUCAUUUUGAAAUGAGUGCAAAGCUAUUAUCAUUAUUUAUUACGUUAAUCAACGAAAAAUAGUUUCAGCAAAAAGAAAAAAAAUUGAUACAGUUUAAAAAAAAACUGAUACAGUAAUAUAUUAAAAGGAAGAUAAAUAAACAUUUACAUGUCGGUGAGCUAAAUUUUCAAAAUGAAGUUAGUAAUAUGCAGAAAAAGAGUGCGGUUCAAAAAUGAACAUCACUCUAAAGAUGACUAUCUUUUUUAAUGUAUGUUGUUGGUAGUUUGAUAGUUUCCAGUUGUGUUCAUAAUGAAUAGCAUACACAUAUACAAUUUGAGUGCAUUAACUCAAUAGUUUUCUGUGAAAAGUCAAAAGACUGGUAAUUGUUGUAAGUUGUGUACCAACGGACUAAACUUUACUCUAGUGCCACCUCUUUGUACGAUUUCUUGUAAGUUAAUUUAUUAUUAUACCUUGCGACAAUGUGAAUACCCCACUUUGUACGAUUUCUUGUACUCUACAAAUUUUAUGUCGUUAAAAAAAAAAGUACUCUACGCAUUUUCAUAUAUCUAAAAAUGGGCCCAGAUGCAUUGUUGUAAGCACUAAGAGCAGCAUUAACGCAGGUGCUUAUUGGGGUGCUUAAUGAUUUUUAGAUUAAAAAAAAAAAGGAAAAUGAUGAAAUUAGGGAGGCAGCGGUGCUUAAUUAAGCGCAUGAAGAAGCGCGUUUUAUUGGACACGCGUCGCGAAGUCGUCACUCCACGUUCAUUUCUCUCUCUCUCUCUCUCGCGAAACACAAGUCUUGUGUUUCUCUCUCGACGACUCCGCCGCAUCGUUUUCUCUCAACCGAUCUCCCCGUCUUGAUGAUCUCUCCUCGUCUCCGUGUCUCUCUCAUCGUCUCCCUGUCUCUCUCCUCGACGACUCCGCCGAGGAGUCUUCUCUCAACCCAUCUCCCCGUCUUGAUGAUCUCUCCUCGUCUCCGUGUCUCUCUAAUCGUCUCCCUGUCUCUCUCCUCGACGACUCCGCCGAGGAGUCUUCUCUCAACCCAUCUCUCCUCUUGAUGAUCUCUCCUCGUCUCUCUGUCUCUAUCGUCGACGAAAGCGAGGUUGAUCUCUCCUCGUCUCUCUGUCUCUCUCCUCGAUGAAUCUCUCGGCGUGUCACGGUGUCAAUCCUCUCGAGGAUCGUGGAACAAGCCAUCUAUCUCUCGACGGCUCACCCAGACGAAGAAUCACUUCACACCUCUCUCAGGGCCCGAGCUCUCCUCUACGAAAUCAAAAGCAUGGUAAAGCUUCAACACGAUUUGAUCACUCGUAUGCAUUGAACGUUUGAUAUAAAGCUGUGGUUAUAUGAGUAGGUCGUUUAUAAUUGAGUUGAUUUGUUAAAAAAUUGAAUUGAUAUAAUAUGAACUGAUUGUUUAUGAUCAUUUGGAAUUGAAUCCAAAGAGUAUUAACUGAUCGUGUUCAAUAUUGAGUGUCGUUCUUGUCUGUGUUGAAUAGGUUGUUUAUGAUCAUGUGAUUUGUGUCUCUGUUUUAUGUAGAACAAAUGAUCUGUAACUGAACUGAAUUGAGGGUCAUCAAUGGUUCUGGUCUGAAUUGAUAUAGAGUCUUCAAUUGAGGGUCAUGAAUUUGUUUUGUUGAUAGUAAUUUUUGUUUUCUUUCUGUGUGUAUGUCCGUUGAGUUGCAUGGAUCAAGGUUGCUGAGAGAGAAUCGCCAAAGCUGACGAUUGCAUUUACUCACAAAGAGGUAAAUGUCUUAAUCUUUUAAUGUUUUGGCAAGUGGGCAUUGAUGUUAGUAUUUAAUAGAAGUGAUGUUGAACUGAGAAAAGGUUAGUGUGUGGUUGAGUUAGGUAGUUGAACGACCUGCUUUGUUUUUGUAAUUGAAUUGAUUACGGUUGUGUGUGAAAUGGUAAUUAAUAGAUGUUAGAUAUAUGUCAACUCGAAAUGGGUUUGUGGCUAGUUGUUUUGACUCUUUAAUGGACUCUUUCUUUCUAUCUGUUACUUCUCUCCCCUCUUUAAAUCUCCUUCCUUCUUUCUUCCUCCAACAGAUUCCUAUCUGUUUUUCUCUCUUCAUUCUCUUGCGAAAUGGAUUUUAAUCCAUUCACUCAGCCUUCAAAUUUUGUUGAUCUGCUUAGCAGUCAGCAAAAUGUUAACUUCGGAAACGUAUCAGAUAGCGUGUCACAAUCUGACGAUGAAGCAGUGGCAAAGGAAAGAAGGACUUGGACGCCUUCAGACGAUGUGGUGCUCAUCAGCUCGUGGUUAAACACGAGCAAAGAUCCAGUAAUAGGGAAUGAGCAAAGGUGUAAUGCUUUCUGGAAAAGAAUAGCUGACUACUUCUGUGCUAGUCGAAGGCUUGCUGGCAGUGAGAAGAGAGAGGCUUCUCAUUGCAAGAUUCAGCUGAUGAAGCAUCACGUCGACCCCCGGGAGUUAAGGCCGCGAAGAAAGUGGGCAAAGAAAGUCUGUCUAAGAAGACAUUGGAUGCCGGGAAGGAGCUGGCUCACUUUGACACGAUGUGCAGCCUCAAGCAGCAGGAUUUAGUGGUGAAAGAAAGGGUUUCGAAGAUGAAGGUACUGGACAGUCUCAUUGCUAAACAAGACCCUCUUGCGGAUUAUGAAGAAGCUUUGAAGAAGAAACUCGUUCUUGAGUUAAUGUCAAAUUAGUUUAACUGGUUUCGGUUUGUCUUCUAACUCUUGUUCUUGUUCUUGUUCUGUGUUGUUCUGUAUCUUGUUGCUUAAGGUUCUACUAUGAUUGAGUGUAACUUGUUGCAUAAGUUUUUGUUAUGUGUUCUAAUGUUGCUCUCGUUUUUGUUGUCAGGUGAACGAAUGGAGGAGCUAUGUUCUGUUGGAGCAACAAGCUUCUGAUGUCUUUUGUUUGCUUCUAUCACGGACCACUCUUGUUUGCUUCUAUCACGGACCAUUCGAGUCUUUUCUUUGCUUCUAUCACGGACCUGAAGUCUUUUGUUUUGUUGUGCAUUGUCUUUUGUAUCACGGACCUUUUGUCUUUUGUUUCACGAGACUUGUACUAACUCUCUGUAGCAAAUCAUGUCUACCAUUAUAUAAAGUAUGCAAGCUUCAGUCUUUCUUUGUACCAAAACAUUUUCUUUCCUUCUCAUAGUUUCAUCGUUUCAACAAUUCCCUUCUCGUCUUUGAUCAAAGUCACCAAACUUUCUCGUAUAAACAAUAAAGAUCAUCUUUGAUUGAAAUCACCCUUUGAUCAAAGUCACCAAGUCUUUGAUAAUACCUCUCUUUCUUCACCCUUUCACUUCCGAUUGUUUAAAAAAAACAAACGGACAAAACACUCUCAACCUCACCCUUUCUACUCAUCUUUUCUUUUCAAUCACAAAAAAAUGGCCUCUUCUUCUAAUCAAAACAAUUUAAAUGAUUCAAUUGAUGAAACAUUUGAUGAAGCAUUUGAUCAAAUGUUCGAUCAAUAUUUAGAGCAAACAUUUGAGAGACUGACCAUCCAUAAUGAUCAAGAAGAACGAAGGAAAAAAAAAAGAGUUUAUAUCGAACGAAAUCGUGAAGAAGGCAAUGUCCGUUUAUGGAAUGAUUAUUUCAGUGAUACGCCAACGUAUCCUGAAAAAUAUUUCCGACGACGUUUUAGAAUGAACAAGCCAUUGUUCUUGCGUAUUGUUGAUCGACUCUCGAACGAAGUUGACUUCUUUCGCCAAAAGAGAGAUGGUCUAGGAAGGCUUGGUCUCUCAGCACUCCAAAAGUGUACAGCAGCUAUCCGUGUCUUGGCAUAUGGCACUGCGGCGGAUGCGGUCGACGAAUAUCUCCGGCUCGGUGAAACGACAACUCGGUCAUGUGUGGAGUAUUUUGUGGAGGGAAUAAUUUAUUUGUUCGGAGAAGAAUACCUACGAAGACCAACACCGGCUGAUCUUCAACGUCUACUUGAUAUUGGAGAGUAUCUUGGAUUCCCCGGCAUGAUAGGGAGCAUCGAUUGUAUGCAUUGGGAAUGGAAGAAUUGUCCCACCGCUUGGAAAGGGCAAUAUUCUCGUGGUUCGGGCAAACCAACAAUCGUAUUAGAGGCGGUUGCUUCAUAUGAUCUCUGGAUAUGGCAUGCGUUUUUCGGACCUCCAGGUACGUUAAAUGAUAUCAAUGUUCUUGAUCGCUCACCUGUUUUUGACGACAUAAUAAAUGGUCAAGCUCCCCAAGUGACUUACUUUGUGAAUGGAAGAGAGUAUCACUUGGCUUACUAUCUCACCGAUGGUAUUUAUCCGAAAUGGGCAUCUUUUAUCCAAUCUAUUUCACUACCACAAGGGCCGAAAGCAGUGUUAUUUGCGCAACGCCAAGAAACUGUCCGAAAGGAUGUCGAGCGUGCUUUUGGAGUCUUGCAAGCUCGCUUUGCCAUCGUUAAAAAUCCUGCACUUUUUUGGGAUAAAGUCAAAAUUGGUAAAAUUAUGAGGGCAUGUAUCAUACUCCAUAAUAUGAUCGUAGAAGAUGAGCGAGAUCGAUACACUCAAUUUGAACUUUCCGAGUUCCAACUACGAGAAGACAAUGGAAGUUCACAUGUCGAUCUCACGUAUUCUACAGAUAUCCCUACAAAUAUCGCCAAUAUGAUGGGUGUUCGAACUAGAAUUCGUGAUCGACAAAUGCAUGAACAACUGAAAAGUGAUUUGGUUGAACAUGUUUGGCGUAAAUCUGGAGGUGAUGAAAACAACCAAUGAGCUCACAUGUGAUUUUCAAAUUAAUCUCGUUUAUUGUUCUAAUCUUUAUUUUGAUAUUUUUUUUUAAAAUCUAUGUUUAAAAUAUUAUCCUUUAAUAUGUUUUAUGUAAUAAAUAAAUUUUAUCUAAAAAAAUUAAUAUUUAAUAUUUUAAGCACUCCAUAAUAAGCACUUUGCAUUGCAGGAUCAAAAUAUACAAGUUGCUUAAUGAAACUCUUAAAUCCUACUUAAUAAUAAAAAAAUGAUUAAGCACCCCAUUAGGGGUGCUGUGGUUAAUGCUGCUCUAAGAGCACGUCUAAUGGUUAGAGCUUUUGAUGGGUUCUAAUGAUUAGUUUAAUGGUUAAUUGUGUACUUUAUGAAAUUUAGAAUUCUUGUUAAUGUAGUUAGUUUUGUCAAAGUUCAAUGAGAGAACCCCUUUGAGAUUCUUAACUUUUUUUUUUCAGAAAUUGAACUAUUAAAUUUAAAUUUUACAAAACUUAUAAAUUAUUGGAUUUCAUAAAAUUUAAACAAAUAUGACAUAAGAACAUAUUAAAAAUACAAAUACAAAUUUAUAAUUAAAAAUUUUAAACAACCAUGAAAAAAAAACAUGAGAAUAGGUUCAUAUGCACAAUAUACAAAACACAUGAGACCCAAAGACAAUGUCGAACAACAACAAGGUUAACGUUGGUGAGACUUACUUGAUGAGAAUAGGUUCAUAUGUAGUAACUAAGACACCUGUUUCAACUCCCUUAAGAUGAAUAUUCGCCAGACGAAUAUUCGCCACAUAUACCUGCCAAAAGAAAUCAUCAUAUUAUUAGAACAUUUGAAUAAAAAAAGGAAACACCUUUAAGAACAGAACAAGGAGAUUAACCGAGUUACCCUCAAUAGGUUUUGUGCUUCUCUUCCCUGUCUUCCUUUGGAUAUAGCCUGCAACCAUUGUUGUUAGACAAUAGAGAACAAAGAGGUAACAAAAGAUGGGAGUGAGUGAAUGAAAUUACCAGCUCUCCUAUAGCAGUUGAGGCAACGGAAGGGAUGUUUCUAUAAGACAAACCAGGCACAUCAAUGACAUUUGAUUGCUCCACAAGCUUUAUGUACAACUCCACAAGCUUUAUGUCUUCGCUCCACCUGCAAAAACAUAACAUGGCUCACAUGUUACAUGUUUAUGUAAACCAAUCAAAGGUAACACAAAAACAGAACAUGGCAUAGAGGAUCAACAUUUUUCGAUCAUGGCAUAGAGAUGUGAAUCUAAGACAAAAAGAGAAACCAAAUCUAACACACAAAGAGAAACCAAAUGAUACGACCACGAAGAGACUAGCAACACACAGAUUAUUGGUUCCGUAGUUGUUUCAGCAAGAAUCAUUUUAAGAACAGAGAUAAAUUAUAGGAUUUAACAACAAUAAACCAACAAAACCAAGUAUUUUCAGUGUCAAUCAAAAUCAAAGAAGCAAUUCAACUGAGAAACAUGUAUCUCCAGUGUAAAUAUCACUAAACCAAUAUCUGAUUCGCUUAAAACAUGAGAUUCUAGAUCAAGAGUGAUGUCAAGGGAAGUAACAACCAUCUCAAAAUAUUUGUUCCUAACAUCAAUAACUAUCCUAAAACGAUCUAGAAACUGAAUUUUCCAUUUGACAUCUUCUCCACUGAUACAUAUUCUAAGCUUCGAGUUCACUAAAUAGAUAGCCAAAUGCAUAUAAGAACAUGAUGAUAAUAUUUACCUGCACAAUAUCCAUUGAACCAUGAUCAAGCGUAGAUGAGGGAUGAGAUAAGUAUGGUCCAUGGUAGAGCAGUAAGCCCUAGCACAGUUAUGCAGAUACGCAUGGCUUCUCUCUCUUUCCCUCAGCCUUUGAUAGCUCUCUUCAACCUCUUCAUCUUCAAACCUUAGCAGCUAAAACGAUAAUGUAUACUUAAGAUUCAUUCUAAUGACAUGACAGAAUCUACUCUAUUAAAAGGGAAGCAGUCUUGAAAAAUCUACUUAUACAAAGUUACUGCACCUUUUCAUUUAACUAAUAGUAUAUUGGUCUACCUAUUAUUUCGCCUACUAUCUAUGUUACUAUAUAUUACUCUAACCAUAAUUUAUUCUCUUUUAGUCCAUAUAAAGUUGCAUAUGUUUUAGUCUAUAUAUAUAAAAUCAUAUGUGUUUUACAAACGGACCUAUAUAUUAAUGUUUCAAAUUGGCUUAUAGUUUUCAAUUUCAGAUUGGACCUAUAUUAUUAAUGUUUCAAACAGACCUAUAUAACAAACGGAUCUUAUACGUGUUUUAUAAACACUCUUAUAUAUUAAUGUUUUAUAAUGCAGAAUGCUGCCAUGUGAAAAAAAAAGAAGAGAAGAUGUAUAUAUGAAAAUGCCGUGGUUGGUAUAACUUAUAGUACACGAAAAUAAAAAAUACUUCUUCAAUAUAUCGAUCUCAUUCAUAUUACAACCAUGAUAGUAUUAUUGAGUUAGAACACUAUAACAUUGACAUGAUUAAACCAUCUUAUUCAUCUCAAAAUCUAAUAUACAAACUAUCUAUACCACCUUAUUUGUACCACUUUAUUCAUCUCAAAAUCUAAUAUACAAGCUAUCUAUACCAAACCAAACCAUUUUAGCGCAUACUUGGUAUGAUUCAAACAGUCUUAUAGCGUUGGUAUAACUAAAAAAUUGACAAAAAUUCAAAUUUUAAACUCUGCUAUGUUAUUGCCUAAAGUGUUACCAACUAUCUAAAAAAAUCAAUUUAAAUGUAUUGUGUAAAUCUUUUUGUUAACAAUAUAUUGUAGAUACGAUAUUUAAUAACAAAAUCCGGAAAUAUUUAUUGUAGUUUCAAUAUAUUUAAUAACAAAAUCCGGAAAUAUUUAUAUUGCUUCGUCUACAAGUUUUAUUUAAUAUCACAAUUAGUUAUUAUUUUCCUUAUACUUAAAAAUUUUCGCUAACCUACUUUAAUUGGAUUAGCAUUAUUUCCUAGAAAUUAAAAAAAUAUUCUAAUUACCAUAUACUCGCAUAAUUUUCCUUACUCCGCAAAGUAACAUAUUUUAUCAAAUCUUUAAAAUACUGUGACCUUCAUUUGCGUAACUCAUGAUAACAUAUAAAUCAUAAUAACUUUAAAGUCUAUAUAAAUACAAAAUAAUAAUCUAUGUAAAUUUUGGUUUUCGCCUGAAAAAAAUCUGCGCUUUUUAAGCGCGGGUCAAAAUCUAAUCAAUACUAUUAAAAAGAAAUGAGUCCUAAAAAAAUCUACCUAUGAAAGUUGUUUAGACCAUUUCACUAGACUUUAAUAUUUUUUGGUCUUACCUUAUAUUUCUCUGACAAUAAAAGGUAACAUGACAUACAUGUUAAAUUGGCUGGGCUUUACAUGGUCAACAUAUAAAUGAACACAAUUUUGCUCUCGGGACUAAACCAAAAUCAGCAUAAACCAUUUGCGUGUUCAAUAUUUAUUUGUGGUUCACAAUUUGGCCCACAUAUUUAAACAAACAUAUACUAACCAAAUUAAUUUAAUUGAUAUGUAAUGUAAGUAUGAACUAUUUUUUUCAUAAUUUAUUUUCUAUAGUAAAGUUAUAUGUUUGCAUACUUUAAAAACCAACGUUCACCCAAAAAUAAAUUAAGAAUUAGCUACUAACAGUUACAAUAAAUAUGAAAAUUUGACAAUCGCAUAUUUAGACAAAUUUAUAUGUAGCAUGUUCAUUUUCGACUUCUUAAUGUAUAGUUUAUAUGUGCCUUAGUUAGUAUAUAUUUAAUUAGACAUUCGUUCCUCCAAAAUGUAUUUUAAAAGUUUAUUUGAUUUGUUAAUUUUCUUUAGCAUAUUUUGUUGGAUUCUGUUUAAUAAUUAAAAUGAUAGUUUAUAUGAAAUCUAAACAAAAUAAACUUGAUGAAGAAGUCAAAAAAAUAUCCCUAUAAACUAGCAACUUUCCAAAGUAUAGGAAAGUAUGUAUUAUAAUUCAAACAAGAUCAAUCAUAUUUUAUUGUUUCCAAAUCUAAUGAAACUAUACAUAACAAAUACAAAAAUAUAAAUUAACAAAGAAUUUUUUGUUAUUUUUGAAAAUGAUGCUUAUCAUUUACCCUAACUUAAAAUGCAUUCUGCAACUAAUCAACUUAAACCCUUUGCCAUGAUUUUGUUUCUACAUUUGUAGCACACGUUUUCAAAAAAAUAUAUUAGAAAACGACUUAUUCUUAGGUCCACCCCCUAGGGUGAACCUCUAGGUUCACCAACCAAUAGGAUUGUUUUAUUUUAUAUUCGAUAUCUUUUAAAAAAGGAAACAAAAUAUUGUCAAAUUAUAUUAUGUUUUUAAAAUUUAAAAGUAAAAAAAAAUAGUAAUAAUUACAAAAAAAAAUAUUUUAUGUCGUCAGCAUAACAUUAAACCCUAAACCCUAAAUUCUAAUCCCUAAACCCUUAAUCCUAAACCCUAAACCCUUGGAUAAACCCUAAACUCUAGGAUAAAUCCAAAACUCUAAAUCAAAAUCACUAUACACUAAAACAUUCAAGCGUUUAGGGUUUAGGGUUUUAGUGUUUUUUAUUUAGAGUUUAGGAUUUAUCCAAGGGUUUAGGGUUUACCCAAGGGUUUAGGAUUUACCCAAGGGUUUAGGAUUUACCCAAGGGUUUAGGGUUUAUCCAAGGGUUUAGGGUUUAGGAUUUAGGGUUUAGGGAUUAGGAUUUAGGGUUUAGUGUUUUGUUGAGAAUAUUAAAAUAUAUUUUUUUUUAAUUCUUUUUUCUGUAACUAUUAUCUUUUUUUAUUUUAAAAACAUAAUAUAAUUUGAGAAUAUUUUGUUUCCUUUUUUAAAAGAUAUCGAAUUUGAAAUAAUGAAAUUCUAUUGGUUGGUGAACCUAUAAGUUCACCCUAGGGAGUGAACCCAAGAAUGACUCUUAGAAAACCAUGCAUGUUGUCAAAAAAUCCCCCCAUAAUUUUGCUAUAUUCAAAUAUACAUGUAAGAUAGAUAUAAUAAGAAUAUAUGUAUCAAUACAAUUCACAUAUAAAAUAUUAAUUAGAGGCCAUAUUUAUAAGUUUGAUCACCAACAUAUAAUAAUUGUACUUAUAAAAUGUUAUAUUAAGAUCUGAUUAUAUGAUGACUGAAUAAAUUAGGAAAUAAUCCUUAAUUAGUAAAAUAAAUAGUUAUUAAAUUUAUGGUUAACAAAUAUUUCAAUUAUUUAUUAUAUAGGUUCCCGUUUUACUGUUUAUGUUCUACGGUUGAAGUUUGUUUGGGUACUUUUAUCAAACAUGUAACUUAUUUAUAAAGUACAGAACAAAGGAAACAUAUUAGGCUAUUAGCCCACUCUAUUACAAAAUAUAAAAAUAUGUUCUAAUUAAAGUGAGACGGGUUUGAUUACAAAUCAUUAAAAAUAAAAUUAAACUAUUAUAAAAUAUGUUAAAUAAAUAAAUUUUAUCUAAUAUUUAUAUUCUUAAAAUUAAUUAAAAAUCAAUCCCGCACUUUAAAGCGCGGGUCAAAAUCUAGUCUCUGAUUAAAAUCUCAAGCAAUCAAUCACACUUACUUCAGCAUGGUGUUGUUCAUGGCGAGUAGAUUCGAGAUCGUUUGAACUGUGGAUCUGAGACAAAAAAAAAACCAUCGACGAAGGAAGAGAGAGAGAGACGACCAAUACACAGAGGGCACGUACCCCUUAGUUAGACACUGGUUCUCUUGAUUUUUCCUUUUUUUCAUUUUUUUUAAGAACCACCUCUAAAAGCCUCCGUUGGAGGUGGUCUAAGAUCAUCACUCCUGAUGAUUGGUGAGUCGUGUAACGAUUAUCAAUCAUUAUUAUUUCUUACUGUUAUGUUUGAGAUUCUAAGGAUCAGCCGCUUGAAGCUUUGUUGCUAUUUCUAUUGUUUUCCACCUUUUCGAUGUUGCGGUGCUCAAGUUAGGGAAAAUAGCCAAUUUUGACCUGUACAAUUUCGGUCUUGGUUUUUAGACCAAAAAGUAAGUGCAAAUUCAUACUUGAACUCUAUAACUAUUUAAACUAGGGGCAUAGCUCAUGUGCAAGCGCGGAGUUGGGUACGUUGUUGAUGAAUUGUGUAGUUUUGUGUACGGGAUUUUGUCGUUUUUUUUGUUUACAUUUGUUUUUUCUGGCUUAACUAUAAUGGCGAUGAAUGAAACAUUGGAAGUCACACAGUUUGAUUAGGUUGAUAUAAGAAUAACAGGCGAAUUCAUAUAUGUACAUAUUUUCAUAUCUUAUCUUCGUUAUGAUUUUAUCGACCAUUAGCGUUAUUAGCGCUUUUAUGUUCAAAAGCUGGGGUUUAUGGGGUUGGUUAGUAGUGUCUAAUGAGUUAGUUGUUAGUAUAUUAUUCUUAAAUAAUGUAAGGAAAAUGAAAUAAAAUCUGAUUUUAAGAAUUUUGCAAAUUAUACCAAAAAUAAUUUAAUGGAGACAAGACAAAAAAAAAUCUAAUCUAUUAAAAUAGAGUCUUAUUUUUAUCUACUGUUUGAAGAUUGUCAUUUAAAUUUGGACCUAUUCAUCUCUUUUAUUAAAACAAAAAUAUUAUGUUGUACCUAACAUCUAUUUGUGUGUGAUAUAUAUAUAUAUAUAUAAAUAUAUAUAUUAAUAUAUAAAUUAUAAUCUACCUAAUGAAAUCUAACUAAAUCAUAUAUUUGAUUUUUCUCCCACACACGAUUGGUUUGAAAAAAUGGGUAAUGGUUUGGCAAAUGACAUGCAUUCGUAUCACUUCAAAUAUUAACUUAGUUUAUUACUUUCAUAAUGUGUUGCAAAUAAAAAUAAAUUUCACAAAAAUACAUGUACAUUUUAUUUAAAUAUUUAAUAAAUAUCAACUAUAUUUCAUAUUACUUCAGAAUUUCUAAUAUAACUGAAAAACUUACUUCAAAUUUUCUAAACAUGUAAUCAACAAUAUAUAUAAAAUGUGUCUUUUCAUAGCAUAUUAAACAAAUUAACCAAAUUAUAAGAACUUAUUCAAAAAUUACAACACAUCAAAUAUUUUAUACAAGAUUAUGAUCAAAAGAGAUAACACUAAAUAUAUUUUUACGAACAAUUUAAGUUUUAUGAAUAAAAUCCCGCCCGUUCAGGCGGGUCCGGAUCUAGUACGUGUUUAUUAGUGUAAUUUUAAUUCUAAAACUAUGUUGUGUAUAUAUUGUGUUAGUUGAAAUGUAUAUGAUAUUCAGGGUCGAACGGAAUGGUUAGGGAUAAAUAUUUAUUAGUGAGGAAAGAUAUGUUUUUAUUUUGUUUGAUGUUUAUAACUGAAGUUGAAAAUAGUACUGAAAUGAUAUUGGAGGUUAAAACAUGAUAACCUCCUUAUUAAUAGUAUCUAAGAUGGACUCAUAGAUUACUUUCCCUACACAGUUGACAACUUAUAUUUGUACGAAGCCAUUAAUCAAUUCAAAGAAAAUAAAAAUUACGGCCGCAUGUACAAGAGCAAAUAUUGUUUACAUAGUUGCAAUUCUCGAAGAAGAUAGUGCAUAUAUCAUUUUCCUCUUUUGUAGUUGGAGGCCUAUUAGUUCCCUCUUGGUCCGUGAUGAUUAGAUCGACGUCAAGUCUUACAGUAGCGUUUUGAUUGUAGUCUCUGAUGGUUAGAGUAACUUGAAGAUCAUUAGCUAAGAUAUUGUCCUUCUCUCUUAGUAAAAUCAUCACAAAUGGGUUAGUCUCUUGAAUAAGGAAUGUUGAGUCGGGGUGAUGAAUCUCAUGAUAAGUUAACAUGAAUUCCAUGCUCUCAGUCGUAGAGUCAUUAAAAUUACCUUGAUUGUCAAUGAUAGAUUGUAGCUGGAAAUCGAUGAUGACAGAUUGUUGUGUGUUGGCCAUGACUCUUGGGGCUGACAAGCUCGUUUUUAGGAAGAAUGAAGUUUACUUGGGUAAGGGUAUGUUAAGGAUGGAGUGGUCAAGAUGAAUGUAAUGACAAUCCUUCUGAAAGUAUAGCUCCAAAAGUUUCAAUGAAUAAGAAGAAGCCAUAUGCUUAUUUGAUUAAGUCUUUUAAUAUAUGGCAUGAAUUCUUAGGCCAUCUGAACUACAACUAGAUACAAAGAUUAAUGAAUCUAAAUAUACUCCCAAAAUACAAAACAAGUAUUGAAAAUGUGAAAUAUGUGUGCAUGGUAAGCUCACAAAACGCCAUCACCUUGAAAGAACCAAUGAACCUCUAGGUAUAAUUCAUACUGAUUAACCUGAUUUAAAAUACACACAAACUAAAGUUGGGAAAACAUACUUUGUGAUCUUCAAAGAUAACUGCACAAAAUAUUGUUAUGUAAAUUAAUUACGUAGCAAAUAUGAAAACUUAGAUAUAUUCAAGGAAUUUAAGCUCGAGGUUGAAAAUCAGGUUAAAACAACUAUAAAGAUAGUUAGAAGCAAAAGAGGAGGUGGUAUGAUGGUCAUUUCGAUGAAUUAUGUAAAGAACAUGGAAUUGUCCAUCAAACUACAACUCCUUAUUCACUAGAAUGUAAUGGAGUUUCUAAAUGCAAAAAAUGAACUUUAAAAGAGAUGAUGAAUGCAAUGUUGUAGGAAUCUUGGUUACCCUAGUACAUGUGGGGGGGGGGGGGGGCAAUUGAUUCUUACCACUAAUUAUAUCCUGAACAAAAUGUCACAAAAGUUACCAUAUGGAUUAUGGAAAGGUAAUUUACCUUUGUAUAAAUACCUUAAAGUGUGGGGGUGCUUGGCAAAAUUUAUUGUACCGCCAUCUAAGAAGGUCACUAUUAGACCUAAAAAAAUGGAUUCCAUCUUGAUUGGGUAUGCACAUAACAUAAAUCUGAAAUAUCCUGCAUUCAUACAAUCAUCAAAUCAUGCAUCUUUAUUCGAAAAUAUUUUCCGUGCAAGGCAAUUUUUUUUUGAAAAAAACUAGAGAAGAAAGUGACGACGACAAUGUCUCAGAAAUUGAAAAAAAAAACGUCAAUCUUUUGAUAUUUCAGAAAAUUAAACAUAAGAUGAACUUAGAAGGCGCAAAAGAGCUCGAAAAAAAAUUCUUUUGGUGAAGAUCUUUUUGAUGGUAAUUUUAGUAAAAAAUGAUCCACGAACUUUGGCAGAAACCAUGUUUUGGAAUGAAGCAGUCAAAAAUAAAUUCAAUAUUAUUAUGCAAACUUAUACAUGGUAUGUAACUGAUUUACCACCAGGAUGAAAAACAUUAGGGAUUAGAAGAAUUUUCAAACAAAAACUGAACUCUGAUGGAACAAUUGGUAAAUACAAAGCUAUGCUUGUAAUUUAAGGAUUCUGACAAAAAGUUGACCCAUAAUAUUUUGACACUUAUUCUCCGGUAAAGAGAAUAACAUCAAUAAGGCUGAUGAUAGAACAUUAAUAAAUCUAGAAAUGCAUAAAAUGUAUGUAAAAGCCGCCUUUCUAAAUGGUGAUUUAAAAGAUGAGAUUUACAUGAAACAACCUUAGGGUUUUGUCAUUUCUGACUUGUAAAGUCAUUUUAUGUGCUCAAACAAGCUCCUAAACAAAAACACAAAAGAAUGACAACACAAUGAUGUGAAAUUGUUUCAAAAUUAAUGAAUGCGAGAAAUGCAUAUACUAUAAAAUACCAAAAUGAGUAGGUUUGCUAUGAUUAUAUGUUGAUGAUAUGCUCGUAGUUGGAAACAAUAAAGACAUAAUUAAUAAAAUAAAGGAAAUGCUCAAAGGAAAAUUUGACAUAAAAGAUAUGGGAUAAGUAGAUGUUUAUUCUCGGAAUUAAAAUCACAAAAAAUCAAGCGAAAUUAUCAUAUCCCAAUCCUAUUAUGCUCAACGAUACUAUCAGAGAUUUAAAAUUGCUCUAAUGGCAUGAAAAAGUCCCGUUAGAUCCUGAAAUUCAAUUGACAUAAAUCAGGAGAAGCGGUACCACAAAAUGAGUAAAUAUGUGUGAUUGGGAGUCUAAUGUACUAGAAUAAUUGUACUAGACCAGAUUUAGCGCACACACUAAACGUUAUGAGUCGAUAUUCAAGUAAUCCAGGUCAUAAACACUAGAAAGCUAUAACGAGAAUACUCAAUUACUUGCGCUAUAAUAAAAUUUAUGGGAUGCACUAUGGUAAAGAACCUGCACUUUUAGAAGGAUACAAUUAUGCUAAUUGGAUAUCAAAUUCUAAAAACUCAAAACUCACAAGUGCAUAUGUUUUUACACUAGGAAGGGCAGCAAUAUCGUGAAAUUUUACCAAAAAACAGUGUUACUAAGAUCCACCAUGGAAUCUGAGUUCAUAGCCCAAAAUAAAAGAGCUGAAUGGAUUAGAAACUGUUUGGAAGAUAUUCCUAUGUAGGAAAAAUCUAUGCCAGAUAUACAAAUAUAUUGUAAUAGUCAAUCGUUUAAAGCUUUGGCUCAGAAUAAUCUCUACAAUGAUGAAUCUCUCGUCACAUCAUAAGACGACAUAAAACCAUUAGAAAAAUUAUUUUUAAACAUUAAUGGUGUAAUCACAAUAUAGUACAUCAAAUCAGCUAACAACCUAGUGGGUCUAUUUGCUAAAACUUUCCACAAGAUGUUGUUGUUAAAUUAUCAAAAUGAAUGGGUUUAAAACCUAUGACAAAUGAGGAUGCUUCACGGCAACCCUACCUAUCAUGACUAGAGAUCCCAAGGUUCAAAGGGAAACAAAAUAAAAAAGAAUCUACUGAGAGCACUUAGAGACCACAAACAUGCUAUUAAAUGUGAGAAGGAUAAGCGUUAGCUUUUAAUGAUUUCAUAGCUUAUAAAGUAGAGUAUUACUCAAUACUUUUUAUAGUCAAUCACCUAAUGAACGUGAAAUGGAGCGUUUCUAAGAGAAUUAAUGCUAUAUUUUUAAAGUUCACUCAUGAAAACCAUGAAUAGUUCAUGACCACAAUGAACACAAUAGAACUAAUUUUACGAGAAAAUGAAGUUGUGGCAUGUUGUCUCGGUCUACAUAAAACACUGGGUGCUUUAAGGCAUCAUGUUCACCUCUUGCUAAAGUAAACCCGACAUAUGUUAAAUGAGUGGUUCAAGACUUAAAAAUGUCACCAACUCAAACACAUUGAUUUUUUUUUCAGACACUCUCGAUAAGCAUGUUUGUCUAGUUAGGAUUAGUAUGAGUUUAUCAACUAUAGUAUAUCAUGCUUUCAUAUGUUUAGAUUCAUUUCUAUUCAUGUAGGAAAUUGUUGGAAUACUGUUUUUGACAUAUGAGUUUUUCACUUUUCCGUCCAAACCGGUGGCCAACGUGAUCAGAUUAUCAGGUCAUGGUGAAGCUUGUAAUAUGUACUACAAUCUGGUAUAGUCAAACGUCAAAAACAGAUUUGAUUUGAAUGAGAAAUGAUGCAAAUAAGUUGGUAUCUUAGUGUGACUUGAAACACUAAGAAAAUUUGUUUGAAGUGACAAAAACCAUUUGUCCCACAUCGGCCACAACAUACAUGAGUGAGUUGUAUAAAUAUGUCUACACUCCUAUCAUUGUUCAAAUGCUCACAGGGUGGCUGAGGUUGGCUCCUCAUGCGCGUGCUGCCGUCAUAUGGGUGGCUCGGCUCGGCGUUGGGGUGAGCUUGGGUCUUGGUGAAGGCCACAUGCUGAGUAAGAUUUUUUUGGACCAAAUUACUUUCAUCUUUUUGGCCCAUUUAGAAUAAAACAUCAUGCAAUUCGUUUCUAAACGACAUGUAGUCCAUCCCAAAACAACACAAAUUUCAUUUGUUCGGCCAAUAUAUUUUUGAAUGAGAAGAGAGGAUAUUGGAGAAGAAUUUUUGAAACGCCAACCUCCCAAAUUUUUUGCAUGAUCUCCUCCACAUACAACAACUGUUAGAGGAAGUGGCUCACCUCAUUCUCUCUAAAUAAACUCGACUAUUCUCAAUCAGUCGUUACUUUCCCUUCGAAAAACCAACAAAAAUCUUCCAAUGUAAGUCGAGAGUGUUUCGUAGUUUUUUUAGUUCGCAUAAAUAUUAACUAGUGAUGCGUGAAUUGUCUUUCAUGGUUUUAUCCUAUGAGUCGUUAUUUGCUAUGGGAUGUCUUACUACAGAGAAAAUAUCAAGAGUUAAGGAAAAACAUGAUAUCUCAGCUCAGUGUGAUCUUUACAAAAAGGUUUUCAUACCGUCUCGUUUUCUUGUCCAGGUCCUUACCGUCUCUUUGUAUCUUAUCGUUUAUUUCAAUUUGAUUUUCCGGCUUCCUACACUAUCUAUACAAAAUUACACUUUUUGAUUAUUGUUAACACUUUAUGUCAUCAGUAUUUCUUUAUAUUUAUUUAUUCAAAAAAAUUGUUGGAAAUGGAUUUGACACCAAUUCGGCGAGUAGAUGAGCUGUAACCAAAACUAGUUGUGCCAAAUAUUUUGCGCUGGGAAAAGGCUUGUCUUCACCACGAACCCAUUAUAACCCAUCGAGCUGUUAGCUGAGAAUUGCUGAGUUAACGUCGAAGAUUCAAUUAACGAAGAACAAAUCAAGAAAGUUCAUUUCAGUUUUCAAAUAAGCAGAAAUCCAGUGAAGUAUGUAUAGUGAGAUUUGUGAGAUAUCCUAAGGAGAUGUCGAGCUGUUUAAGCAAUCAGGGAGGAUCAAAAACAGGACAUUUUCGAGUUUUUCAAAAUCUUAUAACCUAACCACAUCAUUUGCCUAGGAGCAAUUUAUUAUAAGUUUAGUUUAUUAACUCGAAUUUGAUUUUGUUGUUUGUUCAAUCCAGAUUCCUUUCAAUUUUUUUUUCUUUUCUCAAAUCAUCGUUUAAAUACUUGUUUUGAGUUUUAGAAUUUAUAACAGAAAAAGGCACAAGAUCUUAACUUUAUUCCUUACUCGUUAAUCAAACACAACUUUUGUUUUUUUUGAGCAAACCAAACACAACUUUUUUGUUUUUUUUUUGAGCAAAACAAACACAACUUUAUUCCUUGAAGAUAACUUUAUCCCUCACACAGUAAUAAUAUAUACUAAUACAUAUUUGGUAUAUCACAACAAAACUUUUGAACUCCAUAUUAUCAUAAUAGUAUAGACUUUAAUCGCAAGACUUUCCAUUAACUCAUCAUUAAGAAGUCAACUCUAGCGUUUGCGUCUGCGUUAAUGAUGAUUAAAGUCGCAGAUUAGAAAAGAGAGCAUGAGGAAAGUUUGUGAAUAUAUGAAAGUCAACAAAAAAUUCUUAUAAUCGGCCGUUUCGUUUUGAGCAAUUAUGUGCUUUGCAAUUCACAUCAUCUGAAUCAAUAUCCGAAAACGAUGAAUAAUCUGCGGCUUUAACCUUCCUACUAUAGCUUCUGCCACAGCUGGUGCAGCGGCUUAACUGGCCUCUAGCCUUUAGGAUGGCUCGCCAUCCGAUUGUACAAGGCUGCUUGAUGCAGCACCACAGAACGCAAAGAGGACAAUAUACACAUAAGCAGCAAACGUUAAAAGCGACUUCUGACGGACCAGUUGAAGCUGCGUUUGCGUCUGUGACUACGAUUUGAGACUUUGUAGGCGAAACGGUGAUCUGAUUCCUUGCCCGAUUCUCUUCUUCUAUUUCUCUUUGGAGUAGCGUUUUGCGGUCGUUCAUCGCGUUCUCGAAGAAGAAAAAACUCAAAGAUUAUUGAUGGUUUUGAUGAAUGAUUUCUUUUUGUCGACGAUGAAUGAUUUCUUAAUGACCACGAUUUUCAUUUUUAUAAAUUUUUAUAAUUAUUUUAUACUUUCUUCUGUCGUUUUACAAACUAUUUAAAAUUGCUGACGGCUUUACGUGGACCUUUGGGUAUUAUCCCAAUAUUGAUAUACCUUUUUGAAUUAUUCAAAGCCACUCGAAUAAAAAUACAUAGAUCUAAAUAGUAUCAGCUGAAUUUGGCUGUACGAAAUUAUGGAAUAUGAGUAAGUAAUUAAAAAUUCUUCGUAACAGAAGAAUCUAACGUAAUAUAGCUGCUGAAUAACUUGAAGAAUUAGUGAGCUAUGUAAUCUCCUAUAUAUUAAUUCUGGAGCAUUACAAUAUGUUUUCGUAGCCACAAAAAUAAUUCUUAAAAUUGUUAAAAAAAUAAGUUAGUCCAUAUAGAUAUUAAAAUAAUAUUAUUUUUAUGAUUUAUUUUUAAAAAAUUGAAUUUUUUUACUUGAAAUUUCAUAAAACCAUGUUUUAAUAUCAAACUGGAUCAUCGGUUUUAGCAAAUUUCAUGGUUUUUAACCGUUUUUUACCAGAUUUAUCGGUUUAACUCAAAUUCGAUUCUAGCACAAUCCGGAACCGGUUAGAAGUGCAAGUCACAGUCUGGCCGGUCCGGCCAGUUCAGUUUUCAAAACACUGCUAUUGUUUUAUAUCAUUGUGUUCAAAUUUAUUUUUUAUGCACAAAAACUAUCAACUUUUUAUGUUCAUACAAAAAUGAUAUACAAGAUAUGAUAUCAUAUUUAACCUGUUUAGCAAAAUAUAAAGUCUUCCACAUGUACAAAAUUUAUCAUUACCAAAAAUAUUUAACAUAUUUAAAAAACAUAAAAAUUUGUAAACAAAUUCAUGUCCUGAUUUUGCAAAACUUCAAAAUUUUAAUGUUUCAAAUAAUCAUGUUGUAUCCUAUAAAAAUAAUUAACACUAUUCAAGUUUUGUCAAAAUAAUCAGUCAAAACAUAUCCGCGUUUUUAAAGCGUGGGUCAAAAUCUAGAUUAUUAUUUGAUUACUAAAUAAAAUUAUAACUAUACUUUGUUAUUUAAAAAAUUAAUAACUGUUUAGGAAUAAAGUGUAAAAUUAAUGUGUGAAAUCGCUAUGGUACAAGUGUAUAGUAAUGCAACAUCACAAAUUCAAUGCAAUUGCCAAAACCUCUUACGAAUAAUUAAAAAAAUAUUUUACACAAAUAUUAUUAUAAAGAAAAACAUAAAUAUGAUUAUUACAAAAAAAACAUUAAUAUUAAAAUCAAACUUUUAAAAAAUAUAAAACAAAACAUAUACCCGCCCUUUUAUAAUCUAGUUUAACGUUUAAAUUUAAACCAUCAAGAAUAUUCAAGAACGAGAUGAACGACCACAAAAGUCUACUUCAAGGAGGAAUGGAAGAAGAAAAUCCAGCAAGAAAACCAUCUCAGCUUCGCCUACAAGGUCUCAAAUUGUAGUCACAAACGCAAACGUAGCUUUAACUGAUCCGUCCGAAGUCGCGUUUAACGUUUGCUGCUUAUGCGUCUAUUGUCCUCUUUGCAUUCUAUGGUGCUGCAUCAAACUGCCUUUUUUUUGUUUUGCUAAGAAUGGUAAUUUCAUUAAAGAUAAAAGGUUUUUCUACAGAGAGAUGAACCUAAACAAGACAUACCCUGACAAAAAAGAAAGUGAAAAAACAGGGUAUCAAUCAACCAAGCGUAGAAUAACUCCAAGAACAGACUCAUGGAGAGAUUAGGAAAAUAGAUAAUGGAUCAUAACUUCAUAUGAGCCAAAGUGCCAUAAGGGAGCUGAAUUUUCUUCGCUUCCUUGCUGCAUAGAUAGAAACAAUGAUGUGUCUAUUAAUUCCUUUGAAAGCCACCAAUGGAGGGAGCAGGGUCUGGUUGUGAAGCAUAUUAUUUCUCUGUUGCCAGUGUGUGUAAGUGAGGGCUUGAACCACCAUCAUACGCAGGACUGAUGGCGUCAAGGAAGUGGACGAUGAAGCCCACUGGAUGAGGUGCGACCAGUUUGAGAAUGGUGGUACCAGGUCUCUGAUCCUACGAUUAAUUUCAGUCCAUAAGACCCCAGCAUAAGGGCAAGAGAGCAUCAAGUGGUCCCUGGUUUCCUGUUGUGUCGAGCAGAUGCAGCAGUCUGUUUGGAUCUGUAAACCCCAAGAAGCUAGGCGGCAUCUUGUAGGUAACCUGUUCAGAUUUGUAACCCAUAAAUGGAAAGCAUGCUUAGGUGUAGCUCCACUGAACCAUAUGUGUUUUGCAAUGGCCUGGGUUGGAGCUCUAGGUCUCAGCACUUCCCAUGUCCUUGAAGAAGAGAAAACCGGGUGCGAUUGUCCCUCUGUUGACCAACUAAAGAUGUCGGGACCUCUGUCUAGUGAUGGUGUAGGAAAGGUGGUGAGAAAGGAGUGAAGUGCAACUUCCGUAUCUGAUCUUGGAUGCGGCAGCCUCCAUCCUUGCUCACUGUAAGCAUCAGCCACGGAUGCAUCUAUAUGAAUCCUUAGGUUGCGGGUGCCAGUCCUACCGAAGAUUUGGAUUAGAGGCACAAGGGGGGGUCCAGUUAUCGUACCAGAAACUUGUACUGCAUCCAUUGUGUAAGAAAUCUUGAUAUCAAGUCUCUAAGCCGAUGUAUGCAUCGCCAAUUCCAGGACAUAAGCGGUGAUUCCGAUUGUGACCAGAAGCUAUAGGAGGUAGGGCAGUUGUGGUGACGAUGCCAAGCAACCCAGAGGGCGAGCCAUCCUAAAGACUGCACGCCCCUUACACGGCUGCAGCGGCUGCGGCAGAAGCUUGAGCAUGAGGAUCAAGGAUGCUGAUUAUUCGUCAUUUCUGGAUAUUGAUUUAGAUGAAGUGAAAUACAAAGCUCAUAGUCGCUUGAAACUAAAUGGCUGAUGCCAAACGCUUGAGUUGAGUUUAAUGACGAAUUUGUGAAAAGCCUCGCGACUAAAUUCUAGAUUAUUUGAUCAUUUUGAGUUUGAACUUGAAGACGUUGUGAUAUACCAACAAUUUUCUCUGUUAAAAGAGAAGUACCAUUUUUAUCUACCAUAAAAAAAUCACAAUAGCCUUAUUAGGUCCAUUUCAUUUAUUACAUUUAUUUAAUUAUUUACAUUAAUCUAUUAAAUAUAUAAAGAUAUUAAUAAUAAAUCAAUUUUAACUGUAAGUUUAAAUUUGAUUUUUAGUUAUAACAAAAUGUUGAGAAAAAAUCUAACCAAAUCUUUCUAAAAAUUUAAAAUAUUUUAUUUAAAUUAAUACCAUUGAUUAAUUUCGUAAUUAAUAAUAUAUACUAUUAUACAUUAAUUUAAAUAAUAUUAUUAUAAAACAAAAUAAAAUAAAAGUGUAUGCUAUUUUUCAAAUUUUAUAAUUAUAUUCUAUAUCUUAUUUAUUAAAAGAAAUACCAUAAAAAUUUAUACUAGGUCUUUUUCAUCAAUUACAUCUAUUUGAUUGCUUAAGUUAAUCUAUUUAAUAUAUAACAUUUCUAAAAAAUCUUAUAAAUUAUAUAGAUAUUAAUAAAUAAAUUUUAACUGUAUAGUUAAAUUUUAUUUUUACUUAUAACAAAAUAUGUAGGAAAAAAAUAUAACAAAGUCUUAAUAAAAUUUUAAAAUAUUUUUAAAUUAAUGCAGCGAUGGAUUUCUUAAUUAAUAAUAUACUAUUAUUAUAAUCUAUUUACUUAUAAAAACUCACAAUGUACUAAAAUAAAUAACAUAGAAAUAUAAAUUAUGCUAAGAAAAUAUCAGUUCUAUAGUAUAACUAAAUAAAAUUUUAAAAUAUAUUGUAUUCAGUCUGUAAAAAUUAGAAAAAAAUGAAUAUGAGUCAGCUUAGCACGUAGUGCUCGGCAUCAACCGUCUUUCGUUAUACACAUGGAUGCAGAGUUUCCAAGUUGGUUCACAGAGUCAAUAUGAGUCUGUGCAUUGUUUGCUGAUAAAAAAAAAAUUAGAAAAAAAUGAAGGUGAUUUUCAAUUUAUUUAUUUCAUACUAUGAAUUUAUUUUACCAAACUCGAAAAUAUAUUAAUAUAUAAUAACAAUUAAUAAUAAAGUUAAAUGUAUAAAACAAAUCAUUAUACAUUAAUAAUAUCGAAUAAUAAACAAAACCAAUAAUAUUAUAGAUUUACACAAUAUAUAACACUAAAAUUUAAAUUAUAUCUUUGAAAGUUUUGCGAUGAUAUCUGUUAUAUAUUUAUAAAAUGAAAAUCUAUCCGUACGGAUGUGCGGGUGAAAAUCUAGUGUAUUGUAUAGUAUUAGUUGGUAUUUCGAGUUUCAAAAUAAUGUUGUGGUGGUGUAAAGAUAUACAUAUACUAUUAAAGUAGGAUUUUAUCUAAUUUUAACUCCUAAAAUAACCUUUUACUAGAUUUUGACCCGUGCAACCGCACGGGUAUUUGUUUUCACUUUUCUAUACAUAAAUUAUUGUUUUAGAACAUAAGUGGUAUGUUACAAAAAAAAAAAAAAAGAACAUAAGUGGUAUAUAUUUUUAAUGUUAAUCAUAUACAUAAAUAUUUAUAUAACUAUUUCAAAUACAAUAAUUUUAUAAUUUACAUGUUAUAAUUAAUUAAUUGUCUAAACCUUAUGUAUUUACCACUUAUUAUUAUAUAUUUAUCUUAUUGUAUUUGCAUUUAGUUAUUAAGCAAAUAAAUAUAUUCAUGAGAAAAUAUAUUUAAAAAAUAUUUUGUAUUUAAUUUAUGCUAAAUUCUGACCCGUAUUUCAAAACUGGAUUUUUUUUUACCAAUAUUUUUAUGCUUAUUCAUUUUAGAUAAUUUAUUAUUGUAUAGUUUGUUAAUUUUAAGCCGUUCUAUCAUCAUAUUAUAUUUUAAAUAAAUAUUUUAUAUUUAUGAAAAUAAAAUUUAUAAAUUUAUCAAUUGAAUAUAAUUUUAUCAUAUUUAUUUUAGUAUAAUAAUUAUAUUUUAACGUGAUCAUGACUAUAAUUUAUUUAUUUUUAUUUCUAAACGAUAACUUAAAAUACAUUAAGUUAUUGUUUAAAUAUUACACAGAUUUAUUAGAAUUUUUAAAAUACAAUAUAUAAAUAUAUAUUAUAUUUAAAAUGAAAAUAUAUUAUGAUUAAAGUAGUUACAAAGAUUUUAUAUUAUUAACUUUAAAGAAAUACAUGUAUUAUAUAGUUUGAUAAUGUUAACACAUCUUACCAACAUAUUAGAUUUUAUUUUUGAACAUAAAUAUUUUAUAAUUACGAAAAUAAAAUAUAUAAAUAUGUAAAUUUAAUACAAUUUUAUUAUAUUUAGCUCAAUAUAAUAAUUUUAAUUUAAUAUGAUUGAUUAUGAUUAUAUAAUAACUAAAAUGUUAUAGUUUUUUUUAUUUUUCAUUUUAUAUAAUUGAAUAUAUUAAUGUAUAAUAAUAUUUUAAACUAAUUUCGAAAUUAGUGAAAAUAUUUAAAUAUAAUUUCGAAAAUGAAGAUCUUGUAAAAAUCUUUUUAAACAGAUUUGUUAGAAUUUUAAAAUAAAUAUAUUUAUAUUUAAAAUGAAAAGAUAUCAAAAGAUACUAUGAUUAAAAUAUUUUAAAAAUUAUAUUUAUUAUUAGUCUGAAUUAAAAUAUAGUAUGAAUUUCUAUGAAUAGGUCCAUUAGGUCUAUUUUAAAAAAAAUCAGACAUGAAUCAAGGUUGUGACUUCUGUUUUAAUAUAUAAGAUUUACAUCUUAUGUCACUGAUUUUUCAAAGCAAUCGGUAGAUUCAUUAAGGGUGCUUAGGUCAAUUAACUAUCUAACGAUUUAGUUCUAUUAUUUUCCAUUUGACUUAGUUUGGGCUCGGUUAAACUAUCAUACUACAUGCCCACGUUUCCUAACCGUAUUUCUAUGUUGAUAUUUUAAUAUGUCUUCAAUCACAAUUAUAUUUUUUUUGGUCCAAAUCAAACAACCACAAUAACCAAUCUAAACCGGGUAUAAUUUCAUUGUCAUCAUACGAAUCAUACACAUGUCAAAGCAUAGGAAAGCAACAAUAUUACAAUUUUGAUACAUAAGUGAAAACUAUUAAAACUUACUGAGUGCUAAUCCAAAAAAAGAUGAAUCUAAACCACAAAGUACAAUACCUAAACCCUAACAAUAAAUUUUAUUUUUUCUUUCAAAUAAUAUUAACGAAUUUAGAAUGGUUGCAAAAUGUUGUUUUGAAAAAUAUUUUGAAGAAAUUCGAUUCUUGUGGUAUAUUCCAAAAUCUGUUAGUUUAUUUUACAAUCUGAUAUUAUCUUUUAAAAUUAACUUUUUUUUAAAAUGAGAUUCUAAUUUUUUUUCGAUUCCUAUGGUAUAUUCCAAAAUUUUGGAAUAGUUAUUUUACAAGCCGAUAUUAUCUUUAUAAAAUGAGGUGCUAUUUUUUUAAAAUAUCAUUUUAUACUUACUAGAUUUUUUAACCACGCUAUGCGCGGAUAAGAUAUUAUAUAUAUUUCUCAAUUCUAAAAAAAUAAUGUAUAAUAUUGUAUUACAUUAUUUAAAGAAUAUAAAAUAAGACUGCAUAAAAUAAAUAUAUUUUUAAAAUUUUCUUUGUGGAAAUCAUUAUGUUGUUUGAUUGUUGUACUUGAUUCACAUAUUUGCAUAGUUAUUUGUGAUAGAUGCAUAACUAUAUUUUUAUUAUGAGUAAUUAAUAUAUAUUUAUUAUAUAAUAUAAGAAAAAUAAAGUUAUUUACUUUUAAAACAAACUUGUCUCAUGUUGGGGAUUCGGUUAUAGACACAUCAUAUUCGAAUGAGACAUUUUUACAGUUAUCAAUCUUCUUAACAGUCAAGAAAUAAAUCUGAAUAUCAAAACAAUAUUUCAUACUAUCUCUUUUUGGAAUAACGGCUCUGAAAAAAUUGAAUUUAGGCAUAAAAAAGACUUGAAAUGGAUGUGCAAAUGUGUUAUCUAAGUCAGCUUUACAAAAUACUAUUCAUAUUUCAUAUAUCAUUUAUGUCCAUCCUAUUUUUUUGUCCAUCAUUUCUUAAACAUCUUGAAAUAACUGAUGCUAAUUAAUAAUAAACUUUUGGCUAACAAAAAAUUAAAUUUGUCUAAUUAUAGCUUAAAUAUUUUAUCAAUAUUCUCUAAGAAGCUUUCAAUUGAUAUCAUAGUUUAAUUUUUAUUAGUUUUUUUUGUUAAUUUUAGAGUUUUUUUUAUUUAAGAUUUUUUUUCCAUAUUUAAGAUUUUUUCACAUAAUAUAUAUAUGUCAUAAAAAUUACCAUCAAAUCAGUUUUACUUGUUUAUUAUUUUGUUUUUAAUGAAAAUACAUUUUUUAAUAAUUUAAUUUAAAAUAAAAUUAUAUAUUAAUUUGUUGUAUUCUAACAAUUUAAUUUAUUUAAUUAAUUUGUUUUGGUGGAUAACUUAAAAAGUUUUCAUAUGAAUCGGAGAAAGCAAGCUUAUGUUGUUAUAUUAUAUUUAUUUGUGUAUAUGAAAUCUAUAUAUAAUGCUAGUGUAAUAAAGAAAGAACAUUAUUUUUUUUGUAACUUCAAAAAGAUACAUUAUUACAAUUUGAAAUUAAUCAAAAUUGAAUAAAAUGGUAAUUAAAUAAAUCUAAUUGUUUUUUAUCUUGUUUAGUUGGAUUCUCAUGAAAAGAAAUCGAUAGGUUAAAAAAAUGUUUCAAAAUUUGUUGUGUUAUUGUUUUGUCUAUAAAUUACAAAAUUUAUUGAAUUGAUAUAUUUAAUUAUUGCACCGUUAAAUAAUAUUUUAUUAAGACAUUAGAGAACUAUGUUUUGAGUUGUUUUGUCAAAAUUGUACAAAAAUCUAUGAUUUUUCAUAUUUGUCACGAAAAUUUAUAUGUUAAACUUACUCUUACAAAAUUCUUAACUUUGUCACGAAAACAAAAAUCUAUACUUUUUCAUAUUUCUCAUUGUUCUCACAUUUUCAAAGAAUAUAUUAGCUUACUCACUUACUUAUUUAUUUUUACAAAAUAAAGUAUCGGAGUCUUGAAAGUUGAAUCUAUAUUAUUGUAAAUGCACAUAAGAGUUUGUGAUUAGAUAUUUAGUGAUUCUUGUAUAUGUGUUCAAAAAAGUUUCAAUGGCUUAGUGGUAUAUGCCUUAGAUUUAUAUCGUACUAAUCCGGGUUCGAUCAUUUCCUUUGAAUUAUUUUUUUAUUUUUUACGAAAAAAUAAAUGAGAUGACGUGGCAAGUUCAGACUCUCUGAUUGGACAAUUUUUUGUGCUUACGUGGACACUCUAAGAAGAGCUUAUAUCUCCCUUUUAGUAUAGUAUAGAUAUUAUCAUUUAAAAAAAAGUGAAUGGUCAUAAACCACACAUUCAGGCCGAGUAUCAUAUUUUUUGUAUUUGCACAUUUUUUUUCUUUGGGUUAUUGGGCCAAUUUCAAAUCUUUUUUAUAUAAAAAAAUAAAACCCACAUUAAACAUGAUUAAACACAUGAUUAUUAGAUUUUCUUCUUCUAAAUAUAAUUUAAACUUUCAUAAAAUAUUGGAAUAUAUAUAAUGAAAGACGUAAAUCUUUAUUAAAAUUGUAGUAUAAUAGUUUAUUAAAAAUUUCAAAUUGUAAAUAAAAUAACUUUAAAUAAAAUCACGACAUGAUAAAAUUUAUCGAUUAGAGAAAUUCCACUUUAAAUCCUUUCAAAAAAAUAAGUAAAAUGUUCUAAACAUAGAUACUUAUUGAUAAAAUAAUAAUAAAAGUGUGAUAAUUUAUGUUUGCUAUAAAAUAAAAUACAAAUAUAUGAAAAUGUUACUUUAAAAAUUAUUUUGUCAGUUUUAAAAAAAUAAUUUAAAAGGAAAACAAAUCCGCGCUUUAAAAGCGCGGGUCAAAAUCUAAUUUUCUAUAUAUUAUUUGAGAAGCAUUGCAACAUUUUUUUGUAGCCACGUGUCAUCAUUAAAAUGAUUCUUAGAAUCCUUAGAGAAAUAGGUUGGUCAAUCUAAUUAUAUAAUAAUCUUUUUAUUAAACCAUAAUAAAUAUAUUAUUAAUGUGCUUCAUUAUUUCCUUAAAUAAGAUUACGAAAUUGUCUAAUGUGGCUAAAAUAUAUAUGACAAUUAAUGAUUUUGAAUAAUAAAGAUUUGAUAAAAAUAAGUGUGUAUUAUAAUUAUAUUUGUUUAAUUUUAAGCUAUUAAAAUAAAUUAAACAAUAAUAGUAACCAUAUAAUAAAAAUUAAAAAAAUUAUUUAUAUAUUAUAUUUUGAAUUUUUAAAAACGAGUAUAAAUUACUAAAACUGUUAAAAGUUUCACAUUCAAAUUUUGUGAUCUAUGAUUUAAAACUGUUGUUAUGACAUUGUACAAAUAAUUAAAAUGUAAUAUAAGUUGAAAGUCUCAUUUAAGAAGUAUCAAAAAUAAAAGAUAUAAAUAUAUGUCUAAUUUUAAAUUAAACUAUUUGCCAUAUAAAAAUACAUAAAUAUCUUAAUUUUGAAAUUUACUUUGACAUUUUUUGAUAAAAAAUUUGAAAAAAUAUUGACAACUUAAAAUUUUAAAAUAUUAUAAAUUACUUAAACCAUUAAUCACACAGUAAAAAAAUUGUUAUCACUAAUUUAGACUUUUUGCUAUAAUAGAUACAUAUGAUAAAAAAAGAGUAUGAGCAAAAAGCAUUAUCUAAUAAAUAUUAAUAUCAAAAUAUACUAUAUAUAUGUUACUAUCAUUUAAAUUUAAUUAUAUAUCAUGUCAAAUAGAAAAAAAUAUUUUUUCUAUUUAUAAAAUUUUAUUUAUAUGUUCGCACCAAUUUAAUUAUAUAAGUAGUAGAUAAUAACUUUUUAAUUAUUUAAUAUAUAUUUAUUAUUUCAUAAUAUGUUAUAAACAUAUUAUAUAUAAAAUAAUUUAUACAUAUAAUGUUCAUCCCGCACAAGGCGCGGGUCUUAACCUAGUAUACAUUAAUUGAGAAUCAUUAUAACAUUUUUUUGUAACCACGUGUCAUCAUUAAGAUGAUAUUCCUAUAGAAUAAUCGAUCAACACUGGUCAAUAGACAAACCUAGAAAGCGAAAGCCUAAUGGUUUGUAAUUAAGUGUUGAGCUCUAUAAUAUCAUGCAUACAACUUAUUAGGCAUCCGUACGAUUAUAAUCCUGAUUACCUGAAUCAAAACCCUAAGUCUAGCUAUUUCUAUUUAAGUACCAAAACUCCAAUCAAUCAAUCGAGCAAUCACUUGCUCACAAACCUGCAACUUUACAUUUAAAUCGUUAAACAACCUAGCUUAACUAAUCUGAUUAGAUUUAGUAGGUUCCCUAGCUCUCUGUGGAGUCGAUCCCUAAGUACUACAACUGAGCCUCUUAUUUGAGAGAGUAAUUCACUCCUUAGGGUAAUUUGAAUAAUAUCAAAUUUGGCGCCUUUGCCUGGGAGCUUUGAUCGCCUUAUAGAUCUAAUCUUGUUUAGUCUAGAUUUCUUCUUAAAACCACUUUCUGACACAAAAAAAAUUUCUUGUCUUUUCAGGUACAAGCCCAGCAGUACCAGAAGCAAUAAGGAAACUCAACUGCUAUUCUCAUCAGAUCCUGCAAGCUUGGAACGUUCAUCCGCAAAGGAAUACGUUCAUCGAUCGACAACAACACUUGUUCGUCGCUCGAUUUUUGUCAGCCACUGUCGAUCCAGACACCAGUCUCAUCGACCGACACUCGCUCACCACCAUCGACCGAAGACACUCUUCUUCCGUCGAUCGACAUCUUCAAUCCGACGUCGAUCGAUACUUCAGUCCGAACAUAGUUCGAUACUGAGCCGCAAGACAUGGUUGUGACCUUGAUACUUGUACGUGAUGAGAAGGGAGACCUGCAUGACUAUGAAGGUCAUCUGCUUAAUGCAGCAUGUCAAAGGAUAUAUGCUCAGGGGGCUGAAAUCCCUGAGUCUUAUACUGAUACUACAAGCAUUACUCUACCUGUGGAUGAGGCUGCUCGACCCAGAACAUUGGCUGAUUACAACCGUCCAUAUCAGUUCUACACCAAUAGAUCAGUAAUUUGUCAUCCAACUAUUAAGAGGGGGAAUUUCGAGUUGAAGCCGCAGUACUACACACUUGUGGGACAUACACCCUACUAUGGGUUAUCUGUCGAGCACCUUAUGGACCAUCUGGAGAGGUUCGAGGAUCUUAUAUUUGCUAUUAAAGUUGAGGGAGUCUCUGAAGAUUACCUCCUAUGCAAGCUCUUCAAGUACUCACUUGCUGGAGAUGCUUCGCAUUGGCUUAAGCAGUUACCACCAGGAUCUCUCACAUUCUGGAGCGACAUAAGGAAUGCAUUCCUAUGCAACUUCUUUUAUAAGGCGCGUGCUGAAGACUUGAGGAGCAAGACCGCCACAUUCACUCAGGAGCCUGUAAAAUCAUUCAGAAGCUCCUGGAUCAGAUUCAAGUCUUAUCAGAGAGAUUGUCCACACCAUGGAUUCAAUGAAGUACAACUACUCAGUACUUUCUACAGAGGCGUCGCAGUGCAAUAUCAGAUGGCUAUUGAUGCUUCCAGCAAUGAGAAAUUCAACAGCAGGAAUUCAGAAGAGGCUGUGAGAGUUUUUGAAAACUUAGCAUCCAGCAGCAGCACCAAGAACACUGACUUUGAGAGGAAGAGAUCCGCAACCAUUCUUGGGAAUGAUCAGAUGGAUAAAGUGAAGGCAAAGCUUGACAGUGUUGACAAGCUUCUCAGGAGGCAGGUAUGCUUAGUUGAGGAUGCAUAGGCUGUAGACACAAAGGGUAGAGUAGAGGUAAAAGAAGAUGUGAACUUCAGUAGUGGAACUGGAUUUCAGAGGUCUAGAAUGGAAACUUCUAUGGACAGAAAAGUAAUUUAACCAGAGUUCGCAGCAUCAGAAAUCCUACAUCAACAUAUGGAGACUUCUACUACCAGAAGACACACCCACCUACUCAAGAGAACAAGAUUGAUGAGACAGUUGAUAGGGUUCUUAAGGGACAGGAGUGCAUGACGGUGGACUUCAAUGGGAAGAUUGACCAUGUCUACACAAACCUGAACACAAAGUUUGAGACUUUGAGCACUCAUGUGAAAAAGCUGGAGAUGAAGGUCGUUCAGAUAGGAGAAGCUGUUAAGAGGCAAGAAGCCUUAACAAGAGGGGUAGGGGCUGAUGUGACAAAGCACCACGUGAAUGCCAUCAUAGAUGAUGAUUUCUGGCAAGUGGUGAAGCAGGAGAAGCUGCAAGCAGGAGAUUUCGAAGUAGAAAGCUCGAUGAGUUUCGGCGGAUUGCAUUGGUGUCGAUCGACGCCGGACUUCAAACAUCGAUUGACAUACUUUGAUCAAAACCUAUCGACAGGCUCUCCAGAGCAUCGAUCGAUGACACCUACGGAGUCAACCGCAUCUUGCAAUGCCGUGAGGAUCCUGACUCCCAAGGAGUUCGCAGCAAGACACCCACAUCCACCCAGCCCUGUUUAUGUCAAAAUCGAUCGACAUUCCAAUACUACCGACGAUCGACAGAAAGAAAACGCCAUCAAUAGACAACCUCCAGUGCCCAUCGAUCGACGAUCACCUCUUACAUAACAAGUACAGAUGCCAAAGAUAGACGUUGCACAUCUCAAUGCACUCAGGACACAACCCAAACCUUCAGAUAACCCACCAGAGGCCACCAGUACACAUUAGGAUGAUACAACAGUUCCUAUGGAAGUUGAUAAGGUUCCUAUGUGAAGAAACCUGAGGAAAAGAAAGGAAAAAGUGGCAAAACAUCUGAAGAGGGGAGCUAAUGAGAAGAAAAUGGAAAGUUUCCAAAAGAGAGUCUUUAAGAUUCCUCUAGAAAAGCCAUUCGAGGAGGCUUAUUUUACCAACAUAUUGUGGAUGUUCUUCAGAGAAACCAAAGAAACUGAAGAGGAUAUUAGGAGAAGGUUCUGUGAAGCUAGAGAAAAGAUAAAGAAUAGGAUUACACUGAAGAAGAAGAGUGAUCCUGGGAAGUUUGUAAUACCAUGCACGGUGAAUGGUAUUGAAUUCCCACAUGCACUGUGUGACACAUGAACAUCAGUCAGCAUCCUACCUAGGGUUAUGGCAGACCAUCUGGGUCUGAAGGUGGAGCCUUCCAAGGACUCAUUCACUUUUCUGGAUUGUUCUCAGAGAAGCUCAGGAGGAAUCAUAAGAGACCUAGAGGUGCAGAUUGGUAAUGCCCUAGUUCCAGUUGAUUUCCAUGUCUUGGAUAUCAAGCUAAACUAGAACUUAUCUCUAUUACUUGGGAGAGCCUUCUUGUCAACAGUAGGAGCAGUGUGCAACAUGGAGCAAAAUAAGCUUAUUCCAAAGUGUUCAAUCUUAAACUUGAGAUCAUUUUGGCCUUAUCGUAGUCCAAAUAUAUUCCAUAACCAGCUAACUCUCAAGAUUCUAAGGGAUUGCCAAUUAUGUGAUUAGAAAUCCGAAAGUAAGUGAACAAAUGCUCCUCCUCCGUGGAAAUGGACUAGCAUGCAGACAACUGACUAGCUCUUCACAGAAUAUAAAUGUACAAGAAUAUUUACAAUAGCAACGCGAUUAUGUAAACACUCCGAGUUGCAUAACUCACCCAUAAGGGUACAUAACUCCCUUCUAGUAGGUCGUUGGUGAUCCGGAGUGAACAGCGAGGACACUGAACACUUCCAACAAAUGGUCUUAUCCGUCGUAACAUAACAAAAGCAAUGUAAACAAAUGUCUCAGUAAGUUGUGCAAGAAAAAGGAACAGAUGGAUACUGAAGCAUGACCGGCCAGGAAUCACCGCAUAUUGCAUAGGAAGCGCAAAUGAAGCGAGCUUACAAUUCGCACGUCUGCCAUCUAUAAUAUGUACCCUGAUGGAAAAUGACUAUUCCUAUGAUUAUAAUACUCAAAAGUAGAAAAGAUCACCAGAGAGAGGUAUUGGUUCUAUUUUACUCCUACGAUUAUAAUAUCAUCGACGUCGAUUUACUAUUGGUUCUAUUUUAUUUCAUAACUUAUUGAGAUUUCUUCAUUGUCUCAGGUACCUGAAUUUCUUUCAGUCAUAUUUAAUGUCUCUUCUGGAGAUUAUUCAAAACUAUAUUGCCUCGUUUUGACCAUUAUCAAUAUAUACUCUUUUUCAUUUACGAGGAUUUUUUCUUUGAAACCAAUAUGUCUACCACGCUGAAGGCGUGACGAGCAGUUUGAUAUUGUUCUUGUAGAACAUAUAUUCUUAUUGGAGCAUUUACAGCUGAUAUAUGUGACUUGAUCACUAUAUUUAUUUGGGUCAGCAAAUUUGUCUGGCAACUGAUUUACUAAGCACUAUAAUUGAAUUUAUCUUUUGGACUCUAUUUGACAUUUUCUUUAGUCCGAUGAUCAAUGAUAACUCAUAUCAACUUAUCUUAUUUUCCUGCUGUUUAUUUUCUUUCCCUUAUGUUGGAAAUACUAAUUCACUUUUAGAAUUCAUAUAGAACCUUACUUAUAGCCUUCGGGGUUGGCUUUAGAUACUUAAGUAUCAACCGAGAUUUAUAUCCAACAUAUAUUUUCAACCUUAUAAACAUAUCUUAACUAAGCUCUGUGGUGGAGCAACUGAAAUAUAUAUUGCACAUCCAAAAUUCUUAGAUGGAAAAUGGUUGGUUUCUGACCCAAUAUUAAUGAUGGGGAGAACUAGUGAUUACUUGUUGUUUUAAUGCGAAUUAGUGUUGUUCAAAAUGUUUAACACUUAUCCCAAUGAAUUUUCUGUAAUCAUCAAAGACUUAAGACCUAAAUUCACUAAGAUUAUAAAGAUGAAUAGUGGGUGAUCAGUCCACAAACAUCUCUUUUUUUCGUACUAAUAACUUCCUUUGGCUGGUAAAACCUUAUAACCAUUUUAUCUUGUGAGCAAGCAACAUUUGUUUUGUCAACUGUGAGCAAGCAACAUAUGUCCAAUCAUUCGGAAGAAUCUUCAGGAUCUUCAAUGACUAUUUAUAUAAAUUCAAAUAUUUUUUGCAUCAUUAUUGAACCAAAAUGGUCUAAAUAGUUCAUGCCAAAUAUUUUGUAAACUUCUGGUUUACUAUAUAUUUAUCUCCAUUACAUUAAUCUUUGUGUAAUACAAUUUAUAGGAGGAUGUGGGCAUUUUCUUAACUAUACUCUUACUGCCUUGAGAAAUAUUUCUGAUGUGAAAUGAAUAUUACAUUUCUUUCACUUAGUGUCUCAACAUAUGAGUCUCAAAAUCCCACAGAUUUACUUUGAGAAUGAUUCAUCAAUCUUAGUUUUAGUGCAAACAUAAUCUUCUGGUUGUUUUACUUAUCAUAAAACGUGAGAUUAUUAACUCUUCCCCUCGAGAUGAUAAUACUACAAGUUUAUCAAUCUCGAAUGAAUCUCAUUUUUGAAUCAAUAACAUACCCUACAUGGGUUAUUUAUUCUUUCUUAGAUCCUUCUAAGUUUUGAGACUUAUAAGGAUACAAUACCUUAAGAAUUUUAAAUUACAUUCUUAGGAACUUUAAAUUGCAUUCUUAUGUGUAGUAAUACUAUUUACUCUUCUGGAGCAUUCAUAUAUCCUCUUCUUGAACACUCUGUAAACUUAAUAUUAGCUUGUAUUGUACUCACAAUGAAUCAUAUCUCUUCUUUAUUACCAUGUUUAUUUUCUCAACUUCAAGUGAGAGUAUGACUUCUGUAAAAAAACUCUUUGGAUCUUGACCUCGUUUAUGUCCACAUUCACGUCUACAGCACAACCACUUUUAUGUUCAUUUUCUUGACCAAUACUAUUUUUGUGGUAUAAAUGUUAUAUUCUCUUCAUGAGAAUGGAUCAUAAUCAACUAGACGUGAUUUAUCAUCUUACAUCAAUAGCUCAUUAUUUUUCUUAGACUCAAGGAGACAAAAUACAAGUAUAAACUUCUUUAAUCUCUGUUCUCAAUCAUGUGUCUGCUGGACAGCAUUACUUGUGUGAAAUAAUAUUUUCCAAUAUAUAUUCAUCAUAAUUUUGCUUUUAAACUUAACAUCUAGCAUAGUUAAGAUUUAUUUACAGACUUGUAUCAAAACUUGUGGAUUUUUUUUUAUUUUUACGGUCAAGCCAUAAACUUAAAACCCACAUAUACAAAAUGGUAUUGAAAUAUUAUAAUAAAAUGAUUUCAAGUUCUAUAGAGAUAUGUAUUAUCACAAACAUUUUUAUUAAGAAAUAAAUAAUACAUAUAGUAAUUACUUCAUACACUAACUUUUAUUUGUACUAAUAUGCUAUUUAACAAGGUUCUUAACCACUCAAUCAAUAUACUGAAUACAGUUUAUAUCAUUUGUGUCAACUUUCACACAAAUUACUUUAUUUAAUCCAGUUUUAAUUAACUUUAUAAAUAAAGCAUAAAAAUAAAAUACUUAUCUUGAAGAGCGUCUCGGAGAUCGGUGAUCCAAACUUUCAUACUUCAGGUAGUUAUAGACUUCCCUUUUAUAAAUUAUUCUGAAAGAUUUAAAAUUUGCUCAUACAAAAUAUGGUUAUUUCAUUAGUAAUUAUGCAAAAUCAGAAUACUAAUUAUAUACCAAUAAAGUGAAUACUAAUCACGGAAAACAAUAACAAAUUGUUUACGUAAACUUAAAUGGUUCAAAUCAAUAACCAAUGAACAUUGAACCAAAAAAACAAUAAUACGAACAAUAAGUAUGCUUAUGCAAGUCUGGCUAUUACAUGAGUAAACAUUGAUAUUAGUAAAACCAUUUAUCUAGAGUAAAGUGACUUCGUAUGUUAAAAGAAAUUUUACAAGUAUCUUUAAUCACCAAAUCUCUAUUUUCUUAUUUCUGAUUCAUAAAUCAAACCUAAAUCAAACAUACUCGGUAUUUUCUCUAAGUUUCUUUAAACCAUGCUUAAUUGACAAUAGAAAAUAAAGAAAGACAAAGCGUAAACAUAGACCACGUGAAAACAGUAUACACCGUAAAGAAUAUUGCAUGUACUCAAUAUUUAAACAAUAUUACAAUACUACAUGAAUUCCUAGACACCUUCUCAGACACAUAAACAAGUAUCAUUGUAGUAUGAUAUUUGGUUAGUUUUCUAUUAAAUUCUUGUAGUAUGAUAUUUUUAAAAAACGUCAGAUGGAAGUGCAUGUCUUUGAAUCAAAUGAUACUUAAUCAACAACCGAGAAACUCACCUUCUCAUAGAAAACUAACCAAAUAUGUAACUAGUUACCAUCAUGAAACAUCAGCGCUGCCAAAGGAUUCUCCAAUCCAACUUGCUGCCAUAGCUUUGAUGUGGCGACCUAAAUUACAUGAAAAUAAAGGAAUCUUGAAGACAUUCAAUUGAAAUAAAUAUUUUUUUGAAAAACAUUGAAUAUAAACUCCCAAAAAUAGCUAACCAAAAAUUUCUUUCCUGAAAGCAUAUAAAACACUCUUUAAUAUAUCUGCAUAAGUAAAUCACUUUUGAGUAGUCUUUCCCAUGUAUAGUUCAUAUGUUAUCCACAACCCAAAGAGACACAUUGUUGGUGAUAAAUCAAACGAGUCAAGUGAGUUAUAUGACCUAGAAGAUUUAAACAACGAACUAAAAAGUGGAUAAUUACAAAGUCGUAGCCACCUAGUUUAAGAACUACAGUGCAUAGAAAAACAUGCAAACCGUCAAGACACUGAUUAAUCAGAAAAAUGGGGUUUACGUAAGAACAAAAGUAUCACAUUCCAAUAACUCGCUUGAGAGCUGCCCAUAAAACUUAAAGAGUUUUAUAGGAAAGGAGAUUCUCUCUGAGAAAGUUCUGCUGCUCUCCUGGCGUCUCGGUGCCUGAAAAAAAAGAGCGAACUUGAAAGAGGCAGAUCACCAUUAAUCUACAGCACUAGCCACUAAGCUCAUCUCUCUUCAAAAAGAAAACAGUGGUAUUCAUUCCGGAGAUUACAGUCAGAGUCACUCAGUCUUACGCUUUUUUACAUAUCCAUCUCCAGUCUCGGGACUCGAAAACUGCACCUUAGCAUUACCCUUCUUUUCAGAGUGAGGAAGAACUCUAACAUAACCAUUUUUCUUUUGAUCUGAAGUAAGUCAAUCAAAGCAAUAUAAAGUCAUUACAAGGAGGAGAGAAAAAACUAGGAUAAGCCCAAUGCCAUAAAAUAUAUGCAAACUACUUUCAACAAAACAAACCUAAACUAAGUGCUCUGAGCCUCUGAUACACAGCCUCAGACUGAUCAAGACCUAAGACAGAAGACAAGCCGAAGAGCAGCAGCAAAGAAAAAGAGAUAAGCUUGCAUGUUUCUUCAGCUGGGACGGUACCGCAGGAAGGAGAAAGAGAGAGUUCCGGUGGUGGCGCUUAUGGGGAGAAAUUAGAAGAAACCUAGAAAGACAAGAGAAGACUAUAGGAAGCUGAGAGUCAAUGGCUGAAGGAAGUGGACGAUCAGCUGGAAUGCUCCUUAACCUAAAAUUGUUAUUUGAUACUCCUUCAUUUCAUAAUAAGUGUGGUUUUAGUCUUUAAAUAGUUUAUUUCUAUCUUCUUACAUUUUUAAUGCAUAUAUUAAAUAAAUUUGGAAAAUAUUUGCAUGGUGGAUGGUUCAUGGACUUCCAUAGCUCAGUUUAGUGGUUGUGGUUGGGAUUGGAGGGAUGGCUUUGAAAAAAAAUCAACUUAUGGGGAUGCGGAAUUUAAGAAGGCGAGAGACUGCAUUGCAGUCUGAAGUGAAAGCAUUACUAUGGAAAAUGGAGAGUAUGCUUCAACAUUCGUCAUGUCAGAGUUUUGAGACGGAAUGCAAGGAUCUGAUUGUGAUUAUAAAUAAGCCUCACGCAUGGCCAAGUUUUUCAACAUAAUAGGAGGUGAUAAAGACGCUGCAAAUUUGUUUCCCAGACAUCAAGAUAUCUCAUAUCCCUAGAGUGCAAAUUUUGUUUCAAAUCAAGAACACCGAUUAAAAAUCCAUAUUUGUCGACCUUGGAUUUUUUCUCUACUUGAACAGAAUCUAUUUCUUGGAAUCUUUUCUGGUGAUUUCAGUGGUGUUCACCGAGUUUGGUUCCGUGAUAAUUAGGAACAAUUCCAAAAUUUUACAUGAACCUUGGUUCAUACAAUAAAAUUUUAACCAAUUACACAUUAUUUCUCAGUAAUAUUGGAUGUAAUAGUUUUAUUGAGUUUACAUAGUCGCAUUGAGUAUACUCAUGUGAUACUGGAUAUAACAAGGUGUUUCAUGCUAUAACAACGAAACACUUUUUAGAACUGUUAUAUUUCUCAAACAGUAAAGGUUGUAACUGAGAAUACUAAGUAAAUUUCUUAAAACAAGAGAAAUAGAAAAUAGUUUAACUAGAUAUUUAUGUAUUUUACAAACAAAAGGAGGAAACUAGUAUAUUUUACAAAUAAAAGGAGGAAACUUGAAACUGAAAUUAGGUCGGAAUCACCAAAGUCUACUGUCUGGAAAAGCUAUCAGUGGCUCAAAAUCACGGUAAAAAAGACCAACCUCUCUGAUCCAAAAGCAACGGUUACACAUAUUUUCACCUUUAGUUCUCUCAAUGUCCCAAAGAUACCAAUCGCUGUGCAAACAAGGAGUACAUUCGCAACUAUAGAACAAGGGGAUGUCAGAUGAAAUGAACUCAUCCCUCUUCGUGAAAAACGCAAUGUUGUGAGACAUACCUCUACCCAAAUUUAGAGAUCUAACCACCCUGCCUAUCAUAUCAACAUUUUUCCUUGAUAAACGAGAGAAAUACUCCUCAUCAUCCCAAAAUAUCUUGCAUGUCAUAGCGUAGGUGUACAAAGCACGCUCGAAUCCUGCAUCAGCUGCUCUCUUCAUUAAGGCAAGUCCUUCUUCUUGGAGGCCGAACGUGAAGAAAAACUGUACACCCUUGAUGUAAAGUGCACUCGGGUUUCCUGCAGCGUAGAAAUUUCGCAACAACAAGUGAGGCAUAUGUACAUACCAAGGGAAGUUAAACACAUCAAAAGAUGCGUAAACUGUGGGAAGCUCUGUUAAUGCCUUCAUAGACUUGCAUGUCGUUCUCAGUCUAUAGAGAUCUGCGAAGGAGUUAGCGGCCACAAGUUCCACCACUAACACUUGAAUUUCUUCAGGCAGAGAAAGAAUCGAGAGUUCUUUCAUGAUUUCUGUUUUGUUGUAUUUGAAGUUUGUGAUUAAAAAAAAUCUCUUAAGAGGAGUAUUAAAUAGUGGGACGGUUACCAAUUAAAGGAGGUGUCUUUUCCAUAGUCUUGUUUUCUUAAAUAUAAAGGACAUCUUAUCCAUUGAUAUGUUACAAGAUGAGUCAGAUUUUAUUUUUAAAAUAAUAAAUUUGGUAAUUAUUGACCCAAGGUAUGGUAAUUUCGUAUAUUAUUACCAAGUAUAUUUUCCAAGAUUUUAGAAAACAAUCUUUUUAAUAUUAGUUUCUAUAUUUUAGAUUUGAGAAGAUCUUAUAUAAAUAAGAUACAUAAGGAAUUUUUUUUUACAAAAUCUUAGAAUUAUUUGACUGCAACAAUUUAAUUAAAAAAAUUUAUUGGUGAUAAAUUUAGCAUUGACUAAAUAUAAUUUGUAAAUACCUCAUUUUGGCGUUUUCAUUUCCAUUCCUCUCUUCUCCUUUUCACGUAUGUCCUCUUAUGUCGUCCUGGUCGAAGUGUGGGUCACUCUAGAGGUCUGUGUGGUGGUUUCAGUCUCGAUCGAGAGGGCCUGCUCCGCCGUUUAGAUUCUUUCUCGAGAGGCAGUCUCGGUCAAGGUGCCGUGAGAGGGUAGUCACAUUGGUAAAGUUGUAAUUAGUUAGGUUUGUGUGAUUUCUUGGUCUUUUAAUAUUUUUCAAAAAAAAUAAAGAAAAAUAAAAAUGAAAAAGGAGGGGGUAUAUGGGAUUUUUUUUGACAGGAGAAGUAUAUUAGACUUUGUUCUCGUGAUAAAUGCUAUUGGUCUACCAGAAUGCAACUAAUACCACACAAUGAUUUACAAAUAUUCUGCUCAAAUAGAAUCAUUCGGCACAAGUUAGGUUACACUGGGUCAAUGUGUAUCCAUUGUUAUGUGAUAGAGAGCGGAAGCUAAAUUGAUAAGAGAUAGUAACGAAAACAAUAAAUCCUUGCACUUUUGAUCAUCUUAACUCGAACAAGAAAGUCUUUUGAUCUUGAUGAUAUUCUCAACAAGUCAAAAUAGGGUUUAGAGUACUCCUCUAAGUUCUAUAAAGCUCUUGAUUGCAAUUGCAAGUUUGAUAAAUAAUAAUAAGGUGAAUGUUUACAAAGACCAAAGCCGCUAUCUAUACUAAUCUAAAUAGUUCUUAUCCUAGUUCGUAAGGGAUGUUUAAUAAUUAUAUAGUUCUAAUAAGACAAGGAAAAACUAAUAACUUAGAAUAAAAGUAAAGCCGAAGAACAUAACAACUCAUAGUAAUGGCUGUGAAGAUGAUGAUGAUGCGCUGCAUCAGGUUCCCUGGAUUGAGAAGGAUUCACCCACGAAUCAUGAUCAUUGUUAUCGCCAUGGUAAGGAGACCUGUGCUUCAUGUUAAAGAUGUUUGAAGUCCUGAAAUGUGCCGGAAAUUGUACUUUGUAUUUAAGCAUUUGGAUUGAUACGUUCCAGCACCCCCCCCCCCCCCAUUUGGAUUGAUACGUUCCAUUUGGAUUGAUACAUUUGAAUCAUGAUCAUUGUUAUCGCCAUGGUAAGGAGACCUGUGCUAGAAUGAUGAAUAUUAAAACUGAUCACAAUCUACCUGAAAGUUGCAUGAACGAAUGGACGGACUUGUUUAAAGAGUAUUUGCCGGAAGACAAUGUGUCUGCUGAUUCUUAUUAUGAGAUUCAGAAAUUAGUUUAUAGUCUUGGGUUGCCUUCAGAGAUGAUAGAUGUCUGCAUCGACAACUGCAUGAUCUAUUGGGGAGAUGAUGAGAAGCUAGAAGUAUGUCGAUUCUGCAAGAAGCCACGAUUCAAGCCGCAAGGACGGGGACGUAAUAGGGUACCGUACCAAAGGAUGUGGUACCUACCAAUUACAGACAGAUUGAAAAGAUUGUAUCAAUCAGAGCAGACUGCUGCAAAGAUGAGAUGGCAUGCCGAGCAUACUCAGACGGAUGGUGAGAUGACUCGUCCAUCAGAUGCAAGAGCCUGGAAACAUUUCAACAAAGUACAUCCGGAUUUUGCUAGCAAUAGCCGGAAUGUGUAUCUCGGAUUAUGCACAGAUGGAUUUAGUCCGUUCGGAAUGUCAGGGAGACAAUAUUCAUUGUGGCCAGUCUUUCUUACGCCAUACAACCUGCCACCGGAGAUGUGCAUGCAACGGGAGUUGCUAUUCUUGACGAUAUUGAUACCUGGUCCGAACCAUCCAAAAAGGUCCCUGGAUGUUUUCCUACAACCACUGAUAAAAGAGUUGAAGGAUUUGUGGUCAACAGGGGUGAGGACGUAUGAUUGUUCAACGAAGACGAAUUUUACGAUGCGAGCUAUGCUUUUGUGGACCAUAAGUGACUUUCCUGCAUAUGGGAUGUUGUCUGGAUGGACUACACAUGGGAGAUUAGCUUGUCCAUAUUGUAAUGGAACGACAGAUGCGUUUCAACUGAAGAAUGGUAGGAAGACAAGUUGGUUUGAUUGUCAUCGUCGAUUUUUUCCCAUUGGCCAUCCUUACCGAAGAAACAAGAAUUUGUUUAGGCACAAAAGGGUUGUGAGAGACACUUCUCCACCAUAUCUAACUGGAGAACAAAUUGAAGCACAAAUCGACUACUACGGAGCUAACGAAACAGUUCGUUGGGGUGGUAAUUGGCAUGUCCCUCGUAAUAUGCCUGAUUCUUACGGUGUUCAUCACAACUGGCACAAGAAGAGUAUAUUUUGGGAGUUGCCAUAUUGGAAGGAUCUUCUUCUGCGCCACAACCUCGAUGUGAUGCAUAUAGAGAAAAAUUUCUUUGAGAACAUCAUGAAUACAAUAUUGAAUGUCCCAGGGAAGACAAAAGACAACAUAAAAUCGAGGUUGGACUUGCCGGAUAUUUGCUCAAGAAGCGAGUUACAUAUUAAAAGCAUUGGACAAGUUCCCGUUCCGAUAUUCAGACUGUCUUCAGAAAAAAAGUCAGUGUUGUUCAACUGGGUGGCAUCAGAAGUGAAGUUCCCCGAUGGGUAUGUUUCAAAUCUCUCUAGAUGUGUUGAAAAGGGUCAAAAGUUCUCUCGGAUGAAGAGUCAUGAUUGUCAUGUCUUUAUGCAACGACUACUGCCCUUUGCAUUUGCGGAGCUACUUCCAACAAACGUACAUGAAGCACUUGCAGGUUCGUAGUGUUUUAUAUCACAAUAAUUUUAUAACGGUCUAGUUUGCAAAAUAAUAUACGACUAACAAUGUGUUUAAUUGUUUUUGGAAUAUAAAAGGCAUUGGAGCAUUUUUCAGGGAUCUGAGCACACGCACUCUUAAAGAAGAAGUUGUAGAACAGCUUCAGGAGAACAUUCCCAUCUUAUUGUGCAACUUGGAGAAGAUAUUUCCUCCUGGAUUUUUUGACGUCAUGGAGCAUCUAGCUGUCCACCUCCCAUAUGAAGCAUUGCUUCGUGGACCUGUACAUUACGGAUGGAUGUAUCAGUAUGAGCGAGCCAUGAAAUAUUUGAAGGGAAAAGCAAAGAACCUCGCCAAAGUUGAAGGUUCUAUAAUUGCUGGAAGUUUGACGGAAGAAGUUUCUCACUUCACAUCGUACUACUUUGCGUCAAAAGUACGUACCCGUAGAAGAGCUCCAAGAAGAUAUGAUGAUGGUGGAGUUGCGCCAACAUAUGCAGUUGCUGGUGUUCCAGACAUCUUUAGCCAGAUUGGACGACUCGGUGGGAAGUCUAAAGAGGUUUGGUGGUCGAGUGAACAAGACGCUCAUAGUGCACACACCUAUAUUCUACUCAAUUGCGAGGAUCCAUUGAUGCGUUAUUUUGAAAGGUAACAUAUAUGGACACUUCAAAACACAUAUAAUUAAUUAUAUAAUUGCAAGAGAUUCAUUCCUAUGAAAUGUGAUUAAUUUUACAGCCUAUUUGUUUCUCAAGUCGAAGAAACAUUUCCUGGUAUAUCCACAAGUGACGUAGACAAAAGAAAGAUCAGCACUUCAUUAAGUGGUUGCGGAAUCAGGUAUUAUAACUCAAACUAUUUUUUCAUACAUGAUUUGUAUUUUAAUGUUCUCUUUAUUUUUGCAGGUUGAUUAUGACGACGAUGCAGAUUAUCCUAAGUGGUUACACGAAGUAAUUCAAUCUCCACUUGUAAAGGUCACCACAUCACAGAUGUAUUUCACACGAGGCUACACUUUUCACACAUAUGAGUAUGGUAGACAGCGGGCGACCAGUAACUAUGGAAUAUGUGUGAAAGGGGAAACAGAUUUCUACGGGAUCUUGACGGAGAUUAUUGAAGUCGAAUUUCCAGGGAUACUGAAGCUGAAAUGCGUCAUCUUCAAAUGUGAAUGGUUCGACCCCGUCGUCAACAGAGGUGUUCGGUCUAACAAAUUUGGUGUAGUUGAUGUCAACGGUGGACGUCGGUACAACAAAUUCGAGCCUUUCAUCUUAGCUUCACAAGCAGACCAAGUUAGCUUCCUUCCAUACCCUCGGAUGAGAGAUUCGGGUAUAAAUUGGUUAGCAGUGAUCAAAGUUACACCUCGAGGACGAAUCAUCAGUGGAGAAGAACCACCAUUGCAAGAAGAACAGAUAAAUGAAGUCGAGGAACCUGAACAAGAAGUUGAUGACAUCCUUCUCAUUGAUCCGCAUAAUCACGAAUACGAAGAUCUUACCGAUGAUGCCACAGACGAAGCUGUAGAAGACGAGUUUAAUGAAAAUGAUGAUAUUUCUAGUGAUGACGAGAAUGUCGAUGUAUCCGAUUGAUGUAUUUGAUUUUGUGUAGUUUGUUUUAUGAAUAAGGUAAUGUGAGAGUUUGUUUUAUGAAUAAGGUAAUGUGGGAGUUUGUUUUAUGUAUAAGAAAUUGUGGGAGUUUGUUUUAUAAAUAAGUAAAUGUGGGAAUUGUGGUUUGGAAUGGAAAUAAACAUGGGGUUUGGAAUAUAUGACGUAGAAGAUAAGGAAUAUGGGGUUUUGGGGUUUGGGGUUUCGGAUUUUAGGGAUUUAAACGUAUUGCUCGUUAAUUCCUCGUAAUUUGACGUCGAAUGUACGACGUAAUCGUCGUUUAUUCCACGUAGGACAGAAUCGUCGUAAAGACCUCGUAAGUAAAUUGACGUAAAUACCACGUAAAGUGAAUGACGAAGGAGGCACUCUUUAAUUCCACGUAGGAUAAUUUCGUCGUAAACACCUCGUAAGGCCACGAGGAUUUUACGACGAAAUUAAAAAAGCGGGGCACGCUAAUUCCACGUAAGCCAGAAUCGUCGUAAAAGAGUCGUAAACUAACGACGAUAUUACGACAAAAAUAUUAAAAAUACUAAAAAAAGAAGAGAAGAAAGAUGCUUGAAUCACAUUUGGCGAGACUUACGUAAGUCUCGACCACAUGAGUUCCAAAUAUCUUCUUCUCUUCUUUUUUUUCCAAAUUUUCUAAAUUGGUGAAAAGCGGGACUUGCUACUUCCUCAUAGUAUAAAAACUAGAAAAAAAAGAAAAAAAGAAAGAUACUAGAAUUAUAUGUGGCGAGACUUAAGUCUCACCCACAUAAAUUCUAAUAUCUUCUUUUCUUCUUUUUUUUUCAAAUAUUUCUAAUUUGAAAAGUAUUUUGGUGAGGAGUGUGACUUGUGUGUGUGGGACUUGUGUGUGUGGUUUGAGAAGGAAAGUUGUGGGUAUUUAUAGAAAAUAAAGGCUCGCUAAUUCCUCGUAACUGGUUUACUCGUUAAUUCCACGUAACACUUUUCGUCGUAAAAACGUCGUUAACGAAAACGCGGGCCUUUGUAUUUUGUCGCUAUUUUGUCGUAACUGAAAACGCGGGCCUCUGUAAUUCCUCGUAAGUUUACGAGGAAAUUACGAGGACAAGUAAUCUUAUAUAUAUCCCGAGCGAGCUCGCUCCGUCUUUCCUCUCCACUUCCUCUCCACUUCCUCCCUAAUUCGUAGCAAUGGUAAGUCUCUCUAAUUCCUCUCUAGUUUGAUUAGUUUAGGAUAGAUUAGGUGGUUAGUAUAGGGAAUUUAGAUAGGUUUACGGAUCUUAUGUUAUUUAGUGUUGAUUAGGUGGAUAAUGUUGGGAAGUAUAUGUUUACGAAAAUUUAAAAAAUUAAAUUUUUUUCUCAGGUUCGAAAAGGUAGACUUACUGCCCAUUACAGAGAGAUGUUCGGUGAGCCGGGUAGUCGUUUAGACCCGUCGUCUUCUUCAGCUCCCGGUUCUUCGUGUCAGGAGACUGUCCCCGAGACUCAGUACACUCAGAGAGUCAUUGGAUCUCCUUCUUCUAGUGCUCCCCAGAUGCCUCCUCCUCCUGUGCCUCCUACGAUGCCGGCACCUCCGAUGCCCGCGGCCGAGAUUCAUCCCGAUUUGAUGGUGCCUCCGAGUGCUCCUUGCUCGCAGUACACCGUAGAGGACAUUCUCCGUCUGCCAGGCAGAGAAGGUUUACCAGUCACGACCGACCGGACGGAACUUUAUGGUAUGUUUCAUUAUUUUUUUAUUCUUUUUUAAUUAUUUUAUAACUUUAAAAAAUAAUUUAUAUUUUAAAUUUGUAUUUUUCAGGUGGGGGAUUGACGGAUGUCUUGCAUCGGACGUAACCGACACGAUAAAAGGUUACUUCUCCAUGGCACAUCCGAACUGGAAAAUGACGCCCCACUACGUCAGAAAGACGUGGUUCAAAAUUUACGCUGUAAGUUCUAUUAAUUAAAUAUAUAUCUUUAAAUUUUUUAAUUAUUUAUAUAUAUAUUUUUUUCUGAAAAACUAAUUAUAAAUUAUUUUUUCCAACAGCAAAAAUAUAAUUGGGCCUUCGGGAUCACUGAGAGGGUGAGGAAGAAGUUUGAAGCGAAGGCGAAAGUUCGCUUGUUGGACACGGUCUCCAACUGGAAGGGUGACUGGAUCGUGAAGGGGUAUGAGCGUGGCAAACCCGCUGAGCUCACCACGGAUGUCUGGGAUGGCCUCAUCCGAUAUUGGCGUCUUCCUGAUUCCAUUAGAAUCGCCCAGUCUUGCUCUAACUCCCGUAACACAGUCGAUGAGCACGGGAACGGGCCGAUGCUUCACACUACGGGCCAAAAACCCCACGCUGGUGUCCGUUUGGAAAUGGUAAUUAAAAAUUUAAUUAUAUUAAAUUUUUAGUAUAUUUUUAUAUAUAUUCUAAUUAACAACUUUCUUAAAUGUUUUUUUAGGCCAAAGAGACGGGAGAAUUCCCGUCUCUUAUGCAACUUUACGAGAGGACCCACAAGAACAAGGCGGGCCGAUUUAUAGAUGGCAAGUCCGAGCAAAUCUACAACGAUUUGGCUGCUCGGGUUGAAGAACGCCAGACCCAGCUGACCCAACAGUCCACCGAUGGAUUACCCGUCACCUUAUCCACACCUGAAGUGGAUAAGCUUUACGAGGAGGUAAAUUUUCUAAAAUUUUAAUUUUUUUAAAUAUUCAUUUAAUUUAACUUUAAAUUUUUACUAACAAAAUUUAUUUUUUGUUUUUAAGGUUGUCCCUAAAAAAAAGGGACGGACGUUGGGGAUUGGUUCCGUCAACGAUGUUCCGAGAGCGACAUCGUCUUAUGUUCAGCGACGGGAUGAUGAAGUCUCUCAGCUGCGUAGGGAGUCCGAAGAGCUGCGUAGAGAGUCUACUCAGCUGCGUAGAGAUUCUACUCAGCUGCGAUCUCGUAUGGGUGGACUCGAGGGCUUCUUGGACGUUGUAGCGGCCACAAAUCCGGAAUGGGCGACUUUGUUGAGGACCAUGCGACAACAAAAUCCUAUCCCAGGCCAGUCACCGACCGACGACUCACAUGCCGAGGCGGAUGUUCAGGCGAGGAGUGAUGAAUUCUACGAGGCGAUUAAUUAACGACCACCCAAGUUCUUUUUAAUUUCGGUUCUUGUAUUAUGAAUUCAAAACUUAUUUAUAUAUAAAAUAUUUUGGUUUUGAUUUUUUUAGAAUUUUAAUUUUAUUAAUAAUUUAAAUAAUUUAAAUUAUAUUUAUAAUUAUAAUUUUUUAUAUUUCUAUAAAAUAAUGAAACGAAGUAAAUUCGUAGCUAAUUUUGCGGCUUCUUUACGUGGAAGCUUAAUGUGGUUUUUACGAGGAAACAUUUACAAGGAAAUAACGUGGAAAUCUAUCAAGGUUUUUACGUUUUCUUUACGUGGAAAUCUUUCAAGGUAUUUACGUUAAUUUUACGAGUAUUUAUUUACGUGGAUUUUACGAGGAAAGUUUUUCGUGGUAAUUACGAGGAAACUUAGCGACGUCCUUACGAGGAAUCUUUACAUGGUCUUUACGAGGAAAAUUAGCGACGUCCUUACGAGGAAUCUUUACGUGGUCUUUACGACGAAAUAUCCUCCUUCGCUUUUACGACGAAAUUAUUUCCUCGCUAACUUACGACGAAUUAGCGAGGAUAUAUGCGUUACGACAAACGUAAAACGACGAAACGGGUUUCCUCGCUAAUUCGUCGUAACACUGCUUUUACGACGAAUUAGCGAGGAAAACUGCCCUCGUAAAACUUGUGUUUUCUUGUAGUGAAUAUCAGAAAACCCAAAUUUAUAAGAAUCUGAGAGCAUCUUUCUCAAUAAUUCAUGUUUUAUUGUAGUUCUCCUAGGAACUAACAUCAUCACCUCUCUCUUUUUUGCAUUGCUUCUUGAAUCUAAAAACACACUGUAUUAACAAAUCAAAGAAUUUUUUACUCUUAGAGCCACUUUUUCACUUCUCUAUUACACUCCAGGCCACAUUGGGCUAGAAGCACACAUUAUCAUGUCACAAAGACACUAAUGCCCCUAAACUAAACCAAGCAUUAAAACCAAAAAAACUAAAAAUAAGAGAAGGUCCAGACCAUGCACCGCGGUUCAAGACGAUGGUUAACUUUAAAGUAACGGCGAGAUCUUCGAGAGUCCUCAUUAAUGUUCUACUCUCCACCAAGUUAAGCACUCUGCUGCCGAAGUUACUUUCACAGCACUAUCCAAUCGUGGCCCUUCUCACUCUCUAGCCGCUAGGAUCUUGGUUAGUUCUUUUAUUUCAUUGAUGGAUCUGUACUUGAACUGGAUGGUUUAGAUUUUAAUGGAUCUACGAUGUAUCUGAUUGAUUAGUCAAAUUUCGUUUAUAUCCUGCAAGAUAAGAGAUUCUUGUCCUAAUCAUUAGUGCAUGACUAAUUAUAUCUGUCCGGGCUCUGAUUGUGUAGUAUGAGACUGGUGUGUACAAGAUUUUUGCAAGAAAUAGCUCAGAGAGUGGGAGCUCCUCGGCUGCGAUACACAACCUUCAGGUCUGGCCUUGGUCUGACCUUCACCAGAGAUCAGGCUUCAGGUCUGCCGCAAUACAGAACCUCCAGGUCUGACUUUUACCGGAGAUUAGUCUAAGAACAAAAUGCAAGCGGAGAAGAAUGUUGUUAUGGCUGCUUGGUCUUCCCUUAAACAACGUGAGGCCUUCUCUCUUCGUCCUGAUCUGAUUUAAUUAAUGUUCACAUGGUGUUUGAUCUUUUAUCUUCUUGUUGAUAACAGUGCCAAAUGAAACUUCAAGCUCGAUGCUACCAACCGCCUCAGCAGAGAUUUGCAACUCCAGGAACAGCAGCUCCUCCUCCUCCUGCUUAUGUUCAUGUGGACAGCAGUUGUUGGUUUCACAAUGGAAAGGUUUUGAAAGGUGAAACUACUUUGGUGGAGAUCAAAGUUAUGGAAGAAGAUGUUCUUGUUGUCAUGCUUAGCAAAGUACACACUUUUUUCAUUAUCAAGUUAGAUUUUUUGCUUAGGAUCAAUAAUCUACAUGACGUGUUGCAGUUUUUGGUUGGUUCUGAUAUUUUAUUGGUUCAAAUCUUUGGCAUUCUGUUUAAAACAUAACAGCGGAAUAACAUGUGUACUAGUUUCUUUGUUCAUGCUUUCUUUAUCCACAAUCUCACUUCGAUGAUUUCCUCAUCCACGAUUUCUUAUGUCCAUACUUACAUGUCCUAUACUAAUUAUCUAUAUGUACAUGUCCUAGACUAUUUAUUUAUGCGUCUCUGUCCAUGCUAUCGAGUUUCUGGUGAUCUAGUCCAUAACUUCUGGUUAGUGUUUUGUCGUGGUUAGUGUUUUGUUGAGGUUUUGGUAACAUGAGUCUAUGUCUACAUUUUUUUUUCUCUUAUCCACAUGAAUCCUUGUCUACAUGACUACAUGUCCACAACUCCAUGUAUUUUGUUUUGUUAACAUGAGUCCAUGCCCAAACACAUCACCCUAACACAAAUCACCCGAACACAGCUCAAUCGACCACAACUCUGCCGACCACAACUCAGCCAUCCACAACUCAGCCAUCCACAAGAGCAAUUUUGCACCCCCACACCGAACACAAGCAAUUAAGGUAUGUCUUUGUCAAACUGACCUAUUCUCCAAAAUUCAAUAUCUUCCGUUUGAUUUAAUAGUAACUUUUGUAAUCCAACGGUGGAAAGAAGAGCCCUUUAACAUAAACAUAAAUGAAACAAGUAUAUUCUUUCCAACAAGCACCAUCGAAUCCCAUUUCCCACAAGGGCAAAUUUGACAAACCAACUCUUUGGUCCCACCAAAAAGUGUCCUACAAGUGGGAAGUGUUUCUCAGUGUAAAACAAAGACAAAAUGUGUCUUUUUAUGUAAUCAACUCCAAAUCAAAUUAGUUUCAUAACAGACGAACAAUAUAAAAUCACAUAAUAAAAAGUGAUCUAUUGAUUAUACUCUAAAUCAAAUCAACUGUCUAGAGAAUUAAACCUUAACAUACCAAGCUAGAACAUAUACUAAUCAAAUCAAAAGCAUCAUAGAUCAACAUAAAUCAGAAAAAGGUAUAAACUUUCAUUCAAAAUCAUGAAUAUGGCAGACAAAACUAGCUCAGACUUAUCCAACAUGCAAAAAUUAACUGGAAAAUCAAAGAUUUAUAGAGAGUGAUAAAUAUAAAAUAUACACAUUUGAUUGGAUUAACGAACUCAACAAUUUAAUAUCCAAACUUUAAGGAAUCUAUAUAUGAUUAGAUAAUACUAAACAAAUAAGAAAGGUCGUCUAAAUGUGUGUCUGAUUGAAAGACUGAAACUCAUCGUCAAAUCAAACGUGUGUGUGAUUGAAAAUCUGAUAGUUUAACACGAUAGUCAUGAAAAAGCGGCUCUGGAUAUUCUCCAUCACAUGCUUAAUCACAUAGCAAUACAUUAAGAAACCAAAAACAAAACAUUAAAGCUCGAUGAAGAUGACGACGGCGGAACUCGAUGAAGACGACGGUGGCAAGGCUCGAUGAAGACGACAUCGGCAAAGCUUGAUGAAGACGAUGAAGACGCCGACGGAAAGGUAGAGACACGCGCCCCCAAUUUCUUCUCCCAAACCUAGACUUCGCAUCUCCUUUCGCCCUUCUCCCGAUCGCCUCUCCGGUGCCAUUCGGCUCUGUGAUAGGGCCCUUGCCGACCCCGUCAUAUCGCAUGAAGAUAUGUUGGUGUUGUGACUCUGCUUCUGGUCGUCGUCUUCGCAGAUGACAUGUUCGAUUCGUCAAGGCUGAGAAGGAUUUGCCACGCGGUGCCGCUGCUUCUUCCUCCUCUUCACCGAAGCUUUCGUUACUCUCGACUCCUAACUCUACUCGCCGGACUGGAAAAUAAAAAAUGUCGCUUCAUGGCCUCUGCUUCCAAAGGCUAACCGGGUACGCAUCGCCUGAGCUAGAGGUCUCGGGACCUCGGACUGGAUGCGAUAGGGUCAUCUUUGUCACUCCGCUGAGUCUAGGCGAUUAACUAUUGAGUGAUGCAUUAAUUUAGCUCCUCUCCCCUCCUUUGUUUUUGGUGUUGGUGUUUCUUGUUAGUUUGGAUUGAAAUUGCAGGUUUAUUCGAGCUGGGGUGUGGAGGUUCUUCAUUUUCUUGGAGCACCGGGUAACACUUUACGGUUGGAGGAGGUAGUAAGACUCGGGAGGUGGUGAUGCUGUCCCUUACUCUGUACCGACUUAGAGGGCGAGUGCGGUCGAGUUGGUUGAGCGCUAUUAAUCACCCGUGGUGUGUGUUGUCCUGUCUAUGGCUAAAUUCCGGGUUUAGUUCCUUCCCAGCCCGGACCUAGAGGACAGUCCUUGAGUGGGUCUGUUUCUGCUCCACGGAGGAAAGCAAUUUGUGCAGGCGGCCGUUGAAUCCACUUCUCAUUGGCGUUGUGUCCCUCGUGUUCUAGGUCCUCGGGUCUCUCCUUUCAUGUCUGUCUCGGCUCAACCUUCCAUCUGGCUACUACAAGUUUGUAUUGAUACUUGACGUCCUGUUCGCUCCAAAGCACAACGGUUUCAAGUUAGAUUGUUUUCUGCGUUCAUGUUUUUACCUUUUUUUGCCAUGGAAGUAGAUUUUAGAGGUCUUCAAGUUUGUUUAACACAUCUUGUAAGCCUCAACAGUUUAUUUCUGAAAUGAUAUUUACCUUUUAGCAAAAAAAAAAAAGAAAAAAAAAAGAAUACAUAUUAAGUUGGAGGACAUUAUAAAAGUAGUUUGAUAAUGUAGGAAGUUUAUUUUAAUAUCAGAAGUAGGCAGCUAGCUGGCAUACAGCUGUGAUUUUAAAUAUUGCAUCCCUACCGUAGUUGGCGUUUGAAGUAAAAAUACUGGUAGACAAUUUGAGGUAUUGAAACCAAAUGUUUGAUACUUAACUUACUUUACUUCAACAACUUCUCCAAGACAUUCCUUUUAGGGUGAAUUUGUGAGAUAUACAUAAGAGGCACUAAAAUAAGGAAUAUGUCCAUUCUACAGUAUAAGCUCAUCGAUGUGACAGAUUCUUCAAAAAAUGACAUUACUAUCCUUCAGAGAGCGCAUGGACGUGUAGAAGAAAAAUCAAGUAAAAACCGUACUAUACUAUAUUCCUUACAGUAUGGACACAGUUGUAAGAUAGCAGAUGAAAGGACGUUUUUGGGAGUAGAAAACGAACCUACACAUGCGGAGGAAUAGAUGACGAUUGAUGACUGUGGUGGAAGAAGAGAAGAUACUGACAGCGCCGAAACAAUCAAUAGAAUUAAUGGUGACAAUGGAAUGAUUGACAUGAAUGAAGAAGAAAGAAAUUGAACUAAGAGAAGAGAAGGCUGAGGAGAAGAAUGAAAAAUAAGAAACAAACAUGAAGAAGAAAUAUUGUACUAACCUAUACUUUGACGAUAAUAUGGAAUAGUAUACUAUAAUAUUAACAAGAAUUGUCGCAAAAACAUUGUGUAUAUUCUUCAUUUAAAUGUAUUGUUCGCGAGAAAAUGGUGGAUGCAUUAUAUAUUAAAUGUUUUUACAAAACUCUAAACGUCAGAUUCAUUUCAAUAGCAUACAACCUUUGGUACCAUAAAUCUACAUUUUAUCAUAUUUGUUACAACACAAUAGAAUAAAACAUAUUAACAAAGAGUAUUGUUUUUCUUUUCUCCAAUGCAACCCACCAUCUAAUUCAGGGAUGGUUAUUAGUGGUGGCGGUGCUGAAGAAUAAGACAAUGGAGCUGAUGGAGUAGUGAAAGAGAAGAAUCAGAAGGCGAAGGAGAUACACUUUGCCAAAGAAGAAGAGAAGCAUUUUAGCAUACUAUACUCUAAUUAUAAAAUGGAAUAGAAUAUGUUACACAACAAUACUAUUCAUCUUCCCCAAGUCAAUCCAUCCUCUGCUUCUUCAUCACUAUCUCCAACCCAACAAACCAAACACCUUGCAGAUACAAUCACCCACAAAUACAACCGCCACAGCCAAUCACCGCAAGAACCCUAAAUAGCUUCUCGAACACCCCCACCCUUCUCGUUCAUCGCUUCUCUUUGAAAUUUAUCUAUCUCUUUUUUUUCUUUAUGAUGUGUCAUCUGUAUUUAGAGUUCUUUUGAAGUGAAAGAAAUCUCUUCGACUGAAGAAGAAACAUCGACAUCAGAUUCUUUUCACGCGCAUAGAUAAGGGUACGUUCGUCACUUUGUAGAUUAAUAUGUAUAAUAUCAUAGCCAAACUUUCUUAUGGGUAGAAACUUUAUUGUUGACUUUCUUAUGUGUAUGUCACCUAAUUCCCCUUCCUUUUAAGUGUCUUUUUAAACACAUAUCAAACUGAGCAUAUAAAUAUAAAGUCUUAAUGGCAUUUUCUCGAAUAGAAUUGGUCCAAUUCUACAUUAUAUUUUGUUGACCCAUGUACCACAAUGCAUCACACAAUAAUGUUAGUAUUCUUGAAUAGAAUUGGUAUAUUGCUACCAAGCUAUAAUGUUUAAUUAUGUAACACAUUAUAUUUAAUGUAAAAGUAUAUAUAAUUUUGUUUCAAAAAAAGAAAAGAAAAUGUCUAUACAAAUUGUGAUGUAAGAACCGUCUUACUCCGCGCAAGGCGCGGAUCUUACCUAGUCUAUUCUAUUAAGACAACAUCAUGACCUAUUGAUAAAUAUUGUGUCUAAUAAUAAUAAUUAAUUUCCUGCUUUUAAUUUAAAUGUUGUAUAACCACUUUCUAAUUUAAUUUCAUAUUAUGCAUGAUGACCCACUACUCCCUAAAAAAACUGUCGACUACAUACCUAAAUGAGAAAUAUUGUGAACAUGGAACAAUUUAAAAAUAUAUGAUUUUCCUAUAUGUGAAAAUCAUAUACGUAUCAAAGGUGAGAUUUAUUUAUAAAUAAAAUCAAACAUGAUUCAAAAACAUUUAUCUAACCAAACAAAUUUGUUUUGUUUUCAAUGUAUAGUUUGAAAACUUAAUUAAAAAAAACACUAAGUUUGUAACUAACUAUCAACUUUUAAUAACUCGGAAUUCAUAUAAAUGUUAUUUUAAAUAUUGUAAUUUAAUAUCAAGAAAAACUAUCUAUAAAUAUAUUUUCAAUAAUUUAUACCCACAACACUCAGAUAUUGGUUUCAUGUAUAGUUAUGCAAAAUCAUAAAUUCAACAUAAUUAUCAAAACAUGUUACAAAUAAUUUUUAAAAUAUCAAUAUUAUUAAAUUAAGAACAUGACUUAUUGAUAUAGGUUAAGUCUAACUAUUUAUUUCUUUUAUUAAAAUAUAAAGCAAAUUGUAUUUUUUUUUUGUCCACGCAAAUUGUAACAUAACUACCUUUUUUAAUAAAAUUAUUUUGCAACUUCUACUUUAGUUCCAAAUUUUUAGGAACCCACUUCCCCGAAACGCAUAUAUUGAGCCAUGUUUAUAAGUAUUGAAUAUUAUUUCUUCAUUUUAGUCAAAACCAAAUGCCAUGGUUUUAUCUUUUUUUUUUUUUUUGUAACAGCCAUGGUCUUAUCUAUUAUACUAAAAGUAAUAGUUUAACAUUUGUGUCAAUUGUUAUAUUACUCUUCACUUUCAGAUAUAUAAUUGUUCUUUCCUUUUGGUUUGACUAUUAACCUGCUAAUCUAUUCUAUUAGGAUUUACAAUACAAAAACAUAACUUAUAUCCCAGCCCAAAACAUUAUGAUUUAUUCAACCAGACAUUAAUUUAUUCAAAUUUUACAUAUUUUUUACAGACAUUAAGUUUAUCAAUUAACAAAUCACAUGGUGUUAAAAAUAAGAUUUAACGGAGUUUAAGUGAACUUUUAAUAGAAAUAAAUAUUCAUAUAAAUUCAUUUAGUUUAACGGGUUUAAAAUACGUUAUUCGAUUAAUUUUUUUAUGAAAUAUAAAAUUAAAACAAAAAAUAUAUCCGCCCUUUUAAAGGCGGGUCAGAAUCUAGUUUUCUUUAAAUUUGCCUCAAAUUGCUAACCAAAAUAAAAGGCUUCGGCAAUGGGUACCUAAUCUCGGAUCUUACCGAUCAAUCUGGUCCAGUUGUCUUAAUCAUUUUCCUUCGGCUUCCGGGCUAUGCUGUUGUUUUGAUUAAGUUGUUAGGGUUAAGCAAUUUUAGGUAUGUUUUUUAUUGGAUCAUGGAUUUAGAAAGAUAUGUUUCACAAAUUCGUUAUAUGCCAACCACCAUUUCUUAAAUUAAGAUGCUUAAAGUUGAUCAUUGCCUAAUUAACUCUAUCUUUAUCUUACUAUACUACUAGAGUUUGACCCGCACAUUCGUGCGAAUAUAUUUUUAUUUUAUAAAUGUAUACAUUUAAUAUUAUCGUAAAUAUUUUAAAUAUAUGAUUUAUAUUUUAGUGUUAUAUAUUGUGUAAUUUUAUAAUUUUAUAAUUUUAUUGUUUAGGUUUUUUAUUCAGCAUUAUUAAUAUAUAGUUAUUUAUUUUAUACUUUUUACUUUGUUUUAGACACCAUUCUCGAAUGAUAAAAAACACGCAAUGAGUCAUACAUAUAAUGAAAAACAUAGAGAAAUUAGUAGGUACCACAACAUAAAAUAUAAAAAAGACAACUCUCAAUAAAUUUGUAGUUAAAAGAGACUUUUCAUUAAUAUCUUUUGAAUUAUUAUUUUUUCUGAUAUCCUAUUUUGUCAAUAACUAAAAGUUAGUUAUGACUAUUAUAUUUUGUAUAUAAUCAUUUAGGUAAUACAUUGUUGUGAGUUUCUUUUUUUCUCUUGUCAUCAACUUAUAUAGACUCACACUGACACUGCAUGCUAGGCUAUCCACCUUUGAGUUUUGCGUCUUUGGUACUUAAAUGAUCCUUUUUCAAAUUAAUUAAAUAAUAUAUAGUUGUAGAUAUAAAAGUUUAACAUAUGCUAAUAUUUUUUGUAUAAAAUAUACAUACUUUAUUAAUUUUUACCAUUUUUAACACUGAAUGAUAGUUUAUUUUAUUUAUUUAAAUGAAAGCAAUGAUAGUUUAUUUUAUUUAUUUAAAUGAAAGUAAAUUGAAAAUAAAAUAGGUUAUUUUACCAAUUUUAUAUAGUUUUGUUUUAUUUAAUUCAUAUAGUACUUCUAUUUAUAUAAUAUAUUAUAAAAUUUAUAAAAUAGCGAAUAAUUGUUUUUUUGUUUUAUAAUAAAAAAAUUAAUUAAUAUUAAUGUAUAAUCAUAUUAUAUUACUAAUUAAGAAAUUAAUUAUUGCACGAUUUUAAAAAAAUACUUAAAUUUUUUAAUAAGAUUUGGGUAGAUAAUUUCUCAACAGAUUUUGUUACAAUUAAAAAUAAAAUUUAAAUCUCUAUUUUCUCAACAGAUUUGUUAGACUAAGAAUAAUCAUUAUGUCAUAUUAAGUAAUUAAUCAAAUGGUCCUACUAAGACUUUUAAAUGGUAGAUAAAAAUUAGGACUCUAAAUUAAUAGAUUAGAUGAUACUAUCUAAAAGAUCAACAUUUUAGGUGAUUAUUGUUAUUUUCUCCAAUGAAUUCCCUGUUAUGUUAUUUCCUAAUUUUGUACAAAUAACUGAAGAAGAAAAAGGGACAAUCACAGCUUUAUUCCUUACUGAUGUCAAUCAAAAAUGAAUUUAAGCCACACCAACUAAUAUAACAACUAAGUUCUUUUAUAUAACAACCAAGUAAUAUAUAUAUAUAUAUAAUACAUAUAUCUUUUUAAUCCACCACAACAACAUAUUCAAACUCUAAAUUAUCAAAUAAUAUAUACAUAAUACAUCGUUGGUAUAUCACAACGUCUUCAUCUACUCGUCAUUAAGAAGUCAACUCCAGCUUUUGGCGUCCGCGUUUAGGACAAUCAAGUCGCAGAUCAGAGAAAAAGGCAUGAGAGAAGUUUGGGAGUUUAUGAAAGUGUUUAAAUUUUUUAAUUCAGCCAAUUCGUUUUAAAAGACUAUGAGCUUUGUAUUUCACUUCAUCUGAAUCAAUAUCCGAAAAUGAAGAAUAAUCUGUAGCCUUAAUCUUCAUGCUCAAGCUUCUGCCACAGCCGCUGCAGCCACUUAAGUGGCGUCCAGCUUUUUGGAUGGCUCGCCAUCCGAUUGCACAAGGCAGUUUGAUGCAGCACCAGAGAAUGCACAGAGGACAAUAGACGCAUAAGCAGCAAACGUUAAACGCGACCUCUGAUGGACCUGUUAGAUCUGCGUUUGAGUUUGCUAUCACGAGCUGAGACCUUGUAGGCGAAACGGAUAUUGGUUUCUUUGCUCGAUUUUCUUCUUGCAUUCCCCCUUGGAGUAAAUUUUUGUGGUCGUUCAUCUUGUUCUUGAAGAGAAAACUCAAAGAUUCUUGAUGGUUUUAAAUGUUAAUGAGUUAUUUCUUAAUGAGGACGGUUCUCGUUUUAUUAAUUAUAUAAUUUUAACACUUGUUAUUUUAUUGGUUUCUUAUUUGAUACUUUCUUCUGUCGCUUUACAAACUAUAUAAAAUUGGAGACGGUUUUACGUGGAAAGACUGACGAAUUAGCUGACAUAAAUAAAAGGCAUCUUAUAAAAUAUAUACAUUUAAGUCAUGUCGCUAUUAUCCCCCAAUAUUGAUAUACAUUUUUGAAUCAUUCAAAACCACUGGAAUUGAAAUUUAUUAAAUAUAAACGUAAACUAGAAUCUGCAAAACCGUGGCCACAAAGAAAACUAUGAUUCACUAACUUUCUCUAUCUUUCGUUUUAGAGAAAUUUCUUUUUAUUUUUUUUCAUUAAAAGUUGCUUUUUAUUUAGUCUUUUUUUGGGGUAAACGCAUCAUAAAUAUCAUAUAGUUUAGUAACAAAUGCACACUAUAUUUCAAUCUUGUUCUAAUUGCAUAAACGAAAACUAAUCAAACUUAUUUAUCUUCAGUUUAAGGUACAAACAAAAACCAGACGAAGCGGUUUACUGUCGGUUUACUGUCGGUUUACAAGGUUUUGGAGUUUUCAAUUUUAGAGUUUGUAAGGAGAAAAAUCGAUUUAGGAAUUAGUUUAGCUUUACCAAAGUUAUAUUAAAGGGUGGAUCGGGUUUGUAGUUGAAUCUCAGGUUCGUACGGAUUAAAAUUAUAUUUUAAUUCCAACUGGUUUGAUAUCGAUUUUGGUACUGAACCAUUAAAACUAAGUCAAACCUUUGUUUGCAUGCAUACAGAUUUAAAUUUUCUGAUAGGGGAUAAUAGAUUAUGAUAUUUGUAAAUGUAUGGAAUUAUGUCAGGUUAAAAAUUAUAUAUAAUUAUUACUAUAUGAUAUUUAUGGUGUAGAAAUAAGUUGUUUAUCCGUAGUUCUUAUAUUAACUUGGUAAAUAUGAAAUGGCAUAUAUAUAUAUAUAUAUAUAUAUAUGCCAACACUUUUUAUCAGUGCAGAUCCGGAUUCAUUUGAAUAUUUCUUAAAUAUCUGAAAUAUCAAAUAGUUUACAACAAAAUGAUGAAAAGAAAAUCUGUAAAAAAAUCUAUACUAUUAUUUAAAAUGCAUAUUUUAAAUUUUUUUUUUGACAGCUGCAUAUUUUAAAAUACAAAUAAAUAAAUUUUUAUUUAUAGUGUUUUGUUCCGAAAAAUAUUUUUCAAUAAACAAGUUAAAAACUGAAUAUUAAAUUCGUAUUUAUAUUAUGUUGUAAAUUUUUAUCACUUAUCUAAUCAAAUAUUUUAAAUUCAUUUUUAUUUUUCAGAUAAUUGUUUAUAUUAAUUUAUAAUUAAUAAUAUAAUCUAAUUCUUUAUUAAGGAUAAGGGUGUCAAAAUAGGUUGAAAUUAAUGAAUUGACCCAAACCAAACCAAUCCAUGGUUCUAAUGGGUUAACAGUUUGGUUAUUAAUGGAUAAAUGGUUUUAUGAGUUAAUGGGUUUAGUGAGUUGGAUUAAUAUUGGUUUGGAUCAAAAUGGGUAUUAUGGGUUAUCCAAUCCAAUCCAAUUUUUUCACAUAAUUUUUUACUCUCUUUCUCGAUCUCACGAGACCUUCAUCAUCGAUCACGACACCAUUCAACCCUUUUGGGUCAUUGAUUUUGGGUUAUCGAUCACAGCACAGCAACUCAUCUUCCUUGUGAGUCAAACUCUAUUUUUCUUCAGUUUUACCUUAUGGGUCAUUGUUUGAUGUACCUUUGUUUUGGGAUCGAUUUUGAAGUGAAUUUUUCUGGGUUUGAAAGUGACUCUCAUGGAAGGAUUGUGUCAUUUUUUGCUGUACCUUUGUUUUUCCUGAGUGAUGAUUGAAGCUAUUCAUGUUUAGUUUCCGAGUCUCUUUGUGAUAUUUUGAUUGUAGAAUGAAUUUUGAAUGUUGCUCUUUUGCAGAUAUCUUCACUACCAAGGAGAUCAAAUAUUAUCCUGUAUGAGAGUUGUUGUCUUUGUUGACAUUCAGAUUUGUCGUUUCAUUAUAUAAGCUCAUUGAUAAGGUCUAUUUGACUAGUUUAUGAAGAAACACUUGUGAACUUUCAAACUUUAUUUUAUUUGUGGUUCGAAGUGUAGAAGCAGGUAAACCGGACUGCAAUAAACGAUAAAAUACAAGCGAUGUUAAGAAAAUAGACGAAUGUAAAAGACGAAUACAAGAACGAUAAGAAAUCGUAUUCACAAAGAGACAUAAAAUCGAGAUAUGAACUCUUUCCUUAACUCAAAAUAUUUGUUCCGUUAGUGACACGGAACUGUACAAAUAUAGAGUCCCAGGAUACAACCAUGGCAGACGAAUCACGCUUCACUCAUGAUCGCCCUAUCGAACUAUAAACUCUACGAAACACUCUCGUAUUUAUAACUUACACUAAAGGAUUUUCACUGUUGGUUUCGAUGUGAAAAAAGUUGAGAAAUGAAGGAAGAGAAGAGGCGAUAUUUAAAGAGACUGAGAAAACCCACUUUUGGCAACAGUUGCUGCACGUGGGAGAGAAUCUCGCAGAGAUCGAGGGAAGUUGAGUUGCAAAACUUAUUCCCCAUGACUCUCUCUUAUCUCGUUUAAAACUUUCGAGAGGAUAAAAUGCAUGACGUUUUUAUUUUCUAGACAAUUUGCUUGUCGUUUUAAAUAAAAUUGCAUGUUGUUUUUUUUUUCGAAAUGAAUGGCAAAACGUUGAGCUUAAAUUGGUCUAAAAAAAUCUUAUUGGGCCAGAGGCCUUCCACCAAGACCCAAGAUCCAAGCCCAAGCCCAAGCCCAAGCCCAUGCCCACACCAAGCUGAGCUGAGAUGAGUCGGCCAGAUGGCGGCGGCGCGCGCGUGGCGAGCCUUCCUCUCUCUCCAAGUUGUUUAACACAUGAUAUAUAAACAGCUCUCUUCCUCUUGUUCCCACCGAUGUAGGACAAGUCCCUUUGUCUCAUUAUUAAUGUUUUUUGGGCUGUUAAACACACAGGCCAAAGUAAUUUGUUUUCACAAUUUUCAUUAAAGCCUAAUGGCUUAUUAAUCGAUCCAACAAUCUCCCACAUGAAUAGAAAUGACUCUUCUAAGCAUAUGCAGACUAAAUGCAGACUCGAUAGACUCUAAAAACUCUACUUAUUCUAAUCUUGACUAGACUAGACAAACUUAUCGAGAGUGUUUGCGAAAAAUUCAUUGUGUUUGAGUUGGUGGCAUUUUUAAGUCUUUAACCACUCAUAGUUAAUAUAUGUCGGGUUUUCUUUACCAGAAGGUGAACAUGAUGUCUUGAACCAACCGGUGUAUUAUGUAGACCGAGACAACAUGCAUAACGCAGCUUCAUUUUCUUGUAGAAGUUAGUUAUCUAUUGUGUUCAUUGUGGCCCUGAACUAUUCCUAGUUUUCAUGAGUGAACUUACAGAAUAUAGCCUUGCAUUCAUUCUCCUAGAAACCGCCCCAUUUCACACUCAUUAGGUGAUUGACGAUGAAAAGUGUUGAGUAAUACUCCGUUUUGGAAGCUAUGGAAUCAUUAAAAACUUAUGCUUAUCCUUCUCACAUUUGUUAGCACUUUUAUCAUCUUAGGAGCUGGGAAGAGACUACUUUCUCUCAAGUGCUUUUGGUUAGAUUCAGUUUGAUUUUGUUUUUUCUUUGAACCUACAUCUUGGGAUCUCCAGUCAUGAUAGGUAGGGUUGUAAUCAAGCAUCCUCAUUCGUUAUAGGCUUUAAACCCAUUCAUUUUGAUGAUUUAGCAACAACAUCUUGUGGCAAACCUUUUGUAAAUGAAUCCGCUAGGUUGUCAGUCGAUUUGGUUUAGUAUAUUGUGAUUACACCAGUUGAAAUAAGUUGUCUAAUGGUUUUAUGUCGUCUUCUGAUGUGACGAGAUUUACCAUUGUAGAGAUUACUCUGAGCCCAAGCUAUAGCUGAUUGACUAUCACAAUUUAUGUGUAGAGCUGGCACAGGUUUCUCCCAUAUAGGAAUAUCUUCCAAAAAAAUUCUAAGUCAUUCAGCUUCUUCUGCUGCUUUGUCUAAGGCUAUGAACUCAGAUUCCAUGGUGGAUCUGGCUAACACUGUUUGUUUGGUAGAUUUUCAUAAUAUUGCUGCUCUUCCUAGUGUAAAGACAUAUCCACUUGUGGAUUUUAAAUUUUUAGAAUCUGAUAUCCAGUUAGCGUCACUGAAUCCUUCUAAACUUGUUGGUUCUUUACCAUAGUGAAGCCCAAAAUCUUUGGUGUAGCGCAAGUAAUUAAGUACUCUCGUUAUAGCUUUCCAGUGUGUAUGACAUGGGUUACUUGUAUAUCGACUAAGUGCGUUUCUUGCAUGCGCUAGAUCUAGUCUCGUACAAUUAGUCAAGUACAUGAGACUUCCGAUCACACGUGCAUACUCGUUUUGUGAAACUGCUCCACCUAAAUUCUUUGUCACGUGCAUUUGAGGAUCUAACGGAGUUUUUGCCGUACUUUUAGAGUAAUUUUUAAAUCUCUCUAAUAUUGUUUGAGCAUUAUAAGAUUGGGUUAAGGUAAUUCUGUUUGAAUUUCUUGUGACUUUAACCCCGAGAAUUACAUAUGCUAAUCCCAAGUCUUUCAUCUCAAAUGUUCCUUUGAGCAUGUUUUUUGUUUGACGGAUAAUGUUUUUAUUGCUUCCAAUAAUGAGCAUAUCAUCUACGUAUAGACAUAGCAAAACAUACACAUUUUUGGUUGUUUUGUAGUAUAUGCAUUUAUCACAUUUAUUUAUUUUGAAACUAUUUGACAUCAUUGUAUUGUCAAAUUUUUCGUGCUAUUGUUUAGGAGCUUGUUUAAGCCCAUAAAGUAACUUCACAAGUCGGUAUACUUUGUCUUCCUGUCCGGGAAUGACAAAACCUUCAGGUUGUUUCAUGUAAAUUUCCUCUUCUAAAUCACUAUUUAGAAAAGUGUUUUUUACAUCCAUUUGAUGGAUUUCUAGGCUCUUAAGGCUGCGAUUGCUAUCAUCAGUCGUAUUGAUGUUAUUCUCGUUACUAGAGAAUAUGUAUCAAAUUAGUCAAAGCCUUCCAUUUGUCGGAAACCUUGAACGACAAGCCUAGGUUUGUAUUUUCCACCAGGUUUUCGUGUCAUUAUCCUUUUAUUUCCUAAUGCUUUGCAGCCAGAUGGUAAAUCUAUUAUGUACCAUGUAUAAUUUUGCAUGAUAGAAUCAAAUUCACUCCUGACAGCUUCGUUCCAAAAUGGAGUUUCAGGUGAAGCCAUGGCUUCUGCCAAAGUUUUUGGAACAUUUUCUACUAAAAAUUCCAUUAGGAAAUCUUGACCAAAAGAUUUUUCCUUUCGAGCUCUUUUGCUUCUUCGAGAUUCAUCUUUUUCUUCAUUUUCUGAAAUAUCAAUUAUAGAAAUAUCGACGAUUGUCUUAGUUUCUGAGUUCUUUUCAUUGUCUCUUUCUUCUCGAGUUCGUUUUGAACCUUGAUUUUCCUUAUAUGAAAAAAUAUUUUCAAAGAAAGAUGCAUUUCUUGAUUCCAUACUGUUUUGCAUGAAAUUCUGAUAUUUCAAAUUUUUGUACCAGAAAUAGAUAAGCAUUACUGUUAUGUGCAUAUCCGAUGAAUAUGCAAUCCACUGUUUUAAGGCCAAUAGUGACCUUUUUUGGUGGUGGUACCGCAACUAUUGCCAAGCACCCCCACACUUUAAGGUUUUUUACGAGGGUAAAUUACCUUUCCAUAAUUCAUAUGAAGUUUUACCAGUUACUUUUUGUUGAAUUUUGUUGAGGAUAUAAUUAGUGGUAAGCAACAGUUCCCCCCCCCCCCCCACAUAUUCUGGGGUAACCUAGAUUCCUGCAACAUUGCAUUCAUCAUCUCUUUUAGAGUUCAAUUUUUGCGUUCAACAUUCUGGUGAGUAAGGAGCUGUAGUUUGCUGGAUUAUUUCAUGUUGUUUACAAAAUGCAUUGAAUGGACCAUCAUACUCGCCUCCUUUGUCGCUUCUAACUACUUUAAUAGUUGUUUUAAUCUGAUUUCGACCUCGAGUUUAAAUUUUUGUAAAUUUUUCUAAGGUUUCAUCUUUGCUAUGUAACAAGUAUACAUAACAAUAUUUUGUGCAAUCAUAAAUGAAGGUCACAAAGUACUUUUUUCCACCUCUAGUUUGUAUGUAUUUUAAAUCACAUAAGUCGGUGUGAAUUAACUCUAGAGAUUUGUUAGUUCUUUCAACACGAGGUGAUGGCGUUUUUGUGAGCUUAGCAUGUACGCAUACUUCACAUUUUUGUUUACUUGUUUUGCAUUUAGGAAUUAGAUUUAAAUUCAUUAAUCUUUGUAUAGAUUUGUAGUUUACAUGGCCUAAUCUUUCAUGCCAUAUAUUAAAAGACUCACAAAAUAAGCAAUUGGCUUCUUAUUCAUUGAAACAUUUGGAGCUACAACUUUCGGAGGGACUGUCAUUACAUUCAUCUUGACAAGCCCCUUUAACAUACCCCUUUCCUAAAUACAUCCCAUUCUUCUUAAUCACGAGCUUGUCCACCUCAAGACUUGUGGCGAAUCCAUUCUUGUUGAGCAAGGUCCCGAGACCAAGUUCUUCCUCAUGUCAGGCACAUGCUUCACAUUCGUCAUAGUGACUUCACG
This 63474-nucleotide long non-coding RNA is filed under the name Brassica rapa (field mustard). Its description in RNAcentral is "long non-coding RNA (BRAP_LNC005690)". The record is from RNAcentral. Lineage: Eukaryota; Viridiplantae; Streptophyta; Magnoliopsida; Brassicales; Brassicaceae.